AUCUUUCUCAAUAUGCACCUUGAAGAAUUUAAUAGCAUGCUUUUUUCUUCUUUUUUGUGAUUCAAUGUGUAUAAACUUUCUGAGCGUGCAAGUACUUGUGAUACUAGUGCAAUAUGAAUAAAUAAUUUUGGUGAUUGAUUAUUGUGUUAUGAUGAAUUGAAGAGCUUAUUUAUGUAAAUCCCCACAUAAUGAGAACUCAAGGUCCACCGUUUCGGUUACCAGCUUUUUGCUAGUCGAUGGCCGGACCAAUUUAGGUCUAAUUCGACCGGCAUACCAUGUGUCAGUAUGUCAGAAUGUACCAUGAAUUGUUGGGGGGAGGGAGAGGAAGUCAAAGAAUAAGGAAGAAGAGGAAGAAGAAGGAAAAGAGGAAUGAGGAAGAUGAAGAAUGAAGGAAAGGAGGAAGAAGAUGGAAGAAGAGGAGGAAGAGAAGAAAGAAAAAUAGGAAGAAGAAGAGGAGGCGGUGGAGGAGGAGGUGUACGUGAGCAAUGUGGGCGAUGGGUGGCGAGGGAUAGGCAGCAAGUGGGGAGGCGAGGGUGGACUCGGACACGUGGGAGAACAGGAGAUGACUUAAGUUUUAUUUUUUAUUUUUAAAAUUUUAAAAAUGAGUUGGGCUUACCUGGUCUAGGCCCAUUGUCAUGCUUGAAUUGGGUGGUAAGCCCUGUUCACAGGCCUUAAUGCCAGGUUUACUGGGCUCACCAUGCAGUAAGCCUUGUAUUGUGCUGAACUGCCCAAAAUUGGACUGGUCUGGAUGCCGGUUGGUGGUCAGACAAGUAAAUACUUGCCGUAUCAUACCGAACCAGAUGAAAUUGCAUUCCUUAUUGAGAAGAGACAGUCAAGAAUUGAUGAAUUGGUUACCUGAAAUAUAGAUUGAAUUUGUCAGCUUCUGCACUCCAAGUAUCACUGUAUAUCUUGUAUUAGACUAGGUUUUACUUUUAGACAAGAAUGCGAUGUGGUACGGUUUGCAAAAUCCAACAUAUCUUGGAUAUUAACGCAUGUAAUGAUGAAUUCUGGUAUUUUCUUUUGACAACUUGCCACAGAAAUCUUUCUAGUGGGUCUGUGUUUUAGGUUUGCUUAACAACAUUUUUACAUGGAUGGAUUUAUAUCCUAUUCUCCCACUUCUGUAUCUUGGCCUGUCGCUUUUCUUGCUUUGUAGUGAAUUUAGCAUUCAAGUGUAUUUUCCCAGAAGGAAUUCUGUAGAAGCAUAUCUUUCUAAGUGCUUUGAAAGAAAAAAAAAGGAGCUCCCUUUAAGAUCUUGUUUGCUGAUAUCUUGCUUGACAAAUACAGUUUUCUGAGGUGUUGGAUGAAAAUGGGUAGCUUCAGAUGUUUUUAAAUGUUUUUUUAUUGGUUUCAUUCAAGGUGAGCCCUUGUUUUGUCUUUUCUGUUUUUCUCAGGACCCUAAGAGAAAGGUACAUAAGCCUGUGAAAGGUGUAUUGAGAUUGGAGGUUGAAAAGCUUCAUGCAAACUCUGUUGAUAUUGAUAAUAUCUCUGAAGGAGGAAGUAUGAUUAUUGACUCAAAUGAGGCUGAAACUUCUUUUGGAAAGCAUCACGUCAAUGGUCUGGAUGGAUCUAGGAGUAGUCAUUCGAAGUUCAUUGGCAUUGACCGGAAAGACAUUCGUGUUAAUGCUUUAACACCGGUGGGAGAAGAUCAUCCUGACUCUUCUGGUGAUGAUGUAAGUUUUUUUUGGUCAAGUUCUACUUAUCCUUCUAUGAUCAAUAGUACUGCUUUACCACUGACUUGCUGGAUGAACUUGUUUUAGGAAGCUUUAUCUGGAAUUAUUGGAGAUUUCACUCAAUUACUGUUGUUUUAUUAAUUUUAUGAAAAAUAAUAUUGUCAUCAAAAGUUCUGGUCGUCGAUCUGUUUGUCAUCCUCCAAAGUUUUACAAUAUAGAGCUUUUGAAGAAUAUGCUUUGGUGGAGAUUGUGGGAGUCCAGAAUAAGAAAAUAAUAGAGUGGACUAAUGUAGUGAACUUCUAGCAUCGUGUUUAUUCUUGUCUAGUACGAUGUGUCUGGAACACAGGGUAAUAUAUAUUGGAGUACUAAUUUGAGGUCCAUCGUCUUGCUUUGUAUUGGUUUGCCAUUUUCCAUGGACUUAAGUCUCUGUGCAACUCUGUGCAACUCUAUGAAUGAAGUAAUAUGAGCAACCAAAUCUGUCAAGGGGUUAAGCUGAUUGGAACAUGCCAUUUUUAAGAUCCAAGGACAGCAUGACUUUGGAAACUGGAUCAACGGGAAGGCAAACAGAGGAAUCAAAUAUUAGCUAUACUAGUCAGUACAGAUCAGAAUCUGCUGGCCCAACCAAGGGCUGGUAGUAUUUUUUAAUUUAUAUUGUAUUUUAUAGUGAUAUCAGGUGGCAUGAGAUAGUAUACCGCUCGGUAGAUCGGUACCAUAUGACCAAUAACUGAAACUGGUAUUGGAUUGAGAUUUAAAUCCUCAAUGCAAGCCACUAUAUUUUGUUAUGAAUGAGGCAUUGGAAUUGUUGGUGGAUGACAACAGGAGGAUCCACACAUGCCUCUACAUCCAGAGAAAUUAUGUGGGCUAAGAUGCAGGACAUUAAGCUAGAAGUACAGCAGUUUCAUGGGACUAGUUUGUUGGUCUCAUGAGUUUGAGUGGCAUCAGCUCUUGGACGGAAGAGAAGUAUUUAUUUUAAAGGAUUAAAAAUGUCAAUUGGUGCCAAAUUUUGAAAAAACAACACUGAUUUGCUUGAAUAGUUAACUGCAUGAGUUCUUGAAGAUAAUGAGAUGUUAAUUUUAUAUGAGGUAUAUAGCAGGGUUGUAACAGAUGCCAUGAGCCCAUUAAAGCCCAGUACCUUAAUUUACGAAUUUGAAUAAAGUCAAAUUGAUAAUGAUCAUUAUUGAUGUUUUUCACGUAGGAUUUGUGGAAAAUGUAAUUGUUAGAUAUCAUAAUAGAUGAAAGAAACAAAAUAGAAGAAAUAUCAUCAAAAACAAUGGAAUAUUCCAUGCCCUAGAUUAUUAUUGUCAAGGAAGUGAUCCUAGAAUCCAUUUGUGGUUUACUCAUUACUAUCGUUGCUUUGUUUCUAACCCAUACAAACACAAGCACAGAUAGAUAAGAACAUCUGUCUGCUGGAUAACCAUAUCCUAUCAGUUGAAAUCUAAUUAUUUAUGACAAAGUGGGCACUAUAUUUGAUUGACUUGUAUGGUUUUUUGCUGUUUUUAUGAACUAUAUUUCAAAUUAUAUUUAUUAUACUCUUUGCCUCCUCUCCUAGCUUCCUUCCAAGGCAAAUUGUAUGGGACUUUCUUUCUGAAUAGGAAGCUGUUGCCCAUUUCGGAACUUUUUGAUGCUUGUAAAUUAACUUUAAUCUCAGGGCCAGAGAAUUAAGUAAUUAUCCCUUUUAAGCUUGAAUUUUAUUAACUUUGAUGUCUUGCAUUAAUGAAAUCACUUCAAAAUUUUGUUUUGUGGCAGUUUCAAGCUUUUGAUUUUCGGAUGAUGACUAGAAAUGAACCAUUCUCGCAACUUUUCCAUUGUCUACACGUGUAUCCCUUGACUGUUAACUUGAGCCGCAAAAGAAAUUUGUUUAUAAAAGUCGAGAUGAGAAAGGAUGAUGCUGACAUACGAAAGCAGCCAUUAGAGGUUUGUAUUGAUGAGACUGACUUGGUUCGUCAUAUCAAUUUCAGUUCACAUUACUUAAGCUUGAUGUGCUGCUGUUGUUUUUUGUUGAUCAGGCUGUGUAUCCCAACGACUUAGGUCCAACUCUUCAAAAAUGUGCUCAUACACAAAUUGCAGUUGGUGCUAGGAUGGCCUGUUAUCAUGAUGAGAUAAAAAUUUGUCUCCCUGCUCUUUUGACAACCCAGCAUCAUCUUCUGUUCACUUUUUUUCAUGUUGAUCUUCAAACAAAACUUGAAGCUCCCAAGCCUGUACGUGCUUAUCAUUCUUUUUGGUUGAUUUUAUGUGAAUUCUACAUAACUUCUUGACAUGUGGAACAAACUACACGUACUUCUGUUUGAUAGUUGCUUACACGUGCAGGUAAUUAUUGGAUAUGCUGUACUUCCAUUGUCCACACACAUUCAGUAAGUGUUGCAUCUAUUAGUAUUUAUAUAUUGCAAUGUCAUUAUGGGUGGUAUGUCAAUAUAAUUUAAGGGUGAUAGUUGGCGGUGGUAAUGUUGUACAACUGAUGCCUACAUGUUCUUUUUGUGGAAUUGGAUUCACCAGUUGUUCCUCCAAAUUUGGUAACACCAUGAUACUGACUUGGUAACACCAAGAGCAAAAACUUCCCUAUCUAGUUUUGAGAACUUUUAGUUACUUGGUAUCUUGUGCUCUUAAACUAUUAUUUUGGGGGAGACAACACAAUCCUGUAUAUUGGCUAUGGUGUAGCUGACGUUAUUUGGUGUUUGAAGUUGCGAUUUGCAAUUUUAUUAUAAGCCCAUUGUGACCAAGAAAUACAAUAUUGAACCAUUGUAAUGAAUUGAUUUGGAACACGAAGGCAUUUGGUUUAAACUGGCAUUGAAUAUAUGUGUGUCUAACACAAGAUUUAUUGAAAUGAAGGUAUCUUCUUUGAUGGCAACGUAUGUACGUGCUAAUGUGUAAAGAUCUGUGAUAAAUAAUGAUAGAUGCUGAUGCUGAUAUGCAUGCUGGGGUUGAUUCCUUUAUCGUACGGGUAAUUUUUUUUUGUAAAUAUUUUACACGCAUGUCUGGGUUAAUCUUAGGCAGCAUGGAAUUGCAGUGGGCAACUCUUGGUAAUCAAACUUUUUUUUAACAAGUUAUGAAGCACUAGGUAUGAUAGGCAGAUGCCAAGAUCUGCGAACUUGUUCAUUUAUACUCAUUUUGUUUAUUUGUGUUCACAUUACACAGGAGUUGUUAUACCAGCUUUUAUGGUGUUCUACCCUUCGAAAGUUGUAAACAGUUUUGGGUUGAUUGAAACAUUGCAUAUUAUGGAUUGUUUUCAUUUUCUUUGCCAUUUUGAAUGAGUGUGCCAUAUCGUCAAAUUUUAACUAUGGGUUUACUUGUAUGUGUCUGUGUUUCCUUUGAGAUGAGAGAAUGCUUUUCAUCAUUUAAGUAGUUUGAUUUUGCCCUUUUCAGGCUGUUGUCUGAUGUAUCUUUACCUAUUUUGAGAGAGCUAGUUCCUCAUUAUCUCCAAGAUAGUAGCAAGGUAUCUAUUUUACUUGUACAUUCAUUAUGGGGAAGUUCCAAGGCAAAUGUCUCUUUCUAGACACUUUUUUGUUUUAAAUGUGCUGAUUCUCUCAAAGUGGCUUGUUGAUCCUUUAUAAAUUGAAAAUUCAUACUUUAUCCUUAUGGUUUUAACUUUUGGGUUAUCUUUUCAGGAGAGACUGGACUUUCUAGAGGAUGGGAAAAAUGUCUUCAGAUUACGUUUAAGGCUGUGCUCCUCUUUGAUUCCCGUCAAUGAACGAAUUCGUGACUUUUUUCUCGAGUAUGAUCGGCAUAAUCUUCGGACAAGUCCACCUUGGGGAUCUGAGCUUCUUGAGGUACUUAUUGUGCUUUUUAUUUAGUUUCUACCUUUGAAACUUUCAUGAUGAUGAUGUUCGGUAAUUGCUCACUUAAUCUCUGUUUGGAUUUCAAUCCUGAUUGCUAUUUAAGGGAGAAAAGAGGAACAGCUGAACUGUCAGGCCACAAACGAACCCAAAUAUUCAAUUCAUAAGUCAUCAGAUUAUGUUAUGACUCAAGAUUUCACUACUAUUUAUAACAUAUUUUACUCAAGAUCCAAUCAUACUAAAAGAUUUUAUGGAAAGAAACCUUACUUGUAAGGAAAUCUUGUAAUUCUGUAUUAUCUUAUCUGAAAAAUAAAAAUUGGCCAUUUUAAUAGGGACUUAGUGGUAUACAAGACUAUAAAAUCCUGUAGGAUGGGUAUGAUAGUGGUAUACAGGACUGCAUACCAACAUUUACCGCUCAACGUCAUUGAAAGUUUUGAAAAAAAAAAGACAUGACUGAUAUUGAAUUAUAUAGUCCAAUAUUGUUGUUUUACUACACCAGUAAAUAUCGGUCAAUAGGUAUCAAUCUGACAGGAUUCUGAAAUUCUGGUUGGGAGUGUGAUGACACUCUAAGUUUGAGUAGGUUGGCUUAUGAGAAGCUUUGAAUUACUCAGUUACAUGAUAGAUCAUGGAGGAUCCUUAAUUUUUGACUUUCCUCUGAACUUUAUUGGGCUACUAGCAAUUUGAUAACUCCGUCUUUCUAGAUAACAUGUAAGGUUUUGAUAUUUUUUUGUUGUAAAAUUUACCUCAAUAUCAUUUAGUUGGAAUGAUGAAAUUCUCCUGUCACCUUCUGUAAUAUUGUUAGUUUGAUGGGCGUCAUUAAUGAGAGCUAAGAACUCUUUUGACUUUCUCAUUUAUUAAUAAGGUUUUAAUCAUGUCAAUCAUCUGAUAACUGUUGCCAUAUAACACAAACUUGAACCAGCUAACUAUGUGGAUUUCUCAUUAUUGGUUGGUUGGCAUUGCAACUAAGUUUCUCCUGGCUGUUUAGUUUAACAUCCUCUUGUGCAUACUGCAUAUAAACAAUUCUGCACUCCCUCUGAGAAGUUAAAAAGGGUGAUUUCAAGAUCAAGUGGUCUUAGAAGGAAAUUUCAACAGAUAUGGAUUCACCUUAUUAAACAGCCGGACAACUUUUAGUGUCUAUGGUUACAUAUGAUUUUUGUGUUGCUCAAUUGAUUGCUAAUUCCAUUUUUAUUGAACUAUUAAAUAGCUGAGAAGUUAAAAAGGGUGAUUUCAAGAUCAAGUGGCCUUAGAAGGAAAUUUCAAUAGAUAUGGAUUCGCCUUAAAUAGCUGGACAACUUUUAGUGUCUAUGGUUACAUAUGAUUUUUGUGUUGAUCAAUUGAUUGCUAAUUCCAUUUUGUUUGAACUAUUAAAUAGUUCCAUCCAAAAAGGUGUAUGAGUGUCACAUGUAAUGCUGUUGUCGAUCAUUAGUCUGAGGAUCUAAUUGGAUUUUCUGUCCUAAGGCCACAAUUUAUAUGCUGAUUAUGCAGGCGAUUAACAGCUUGAAGAAUGUUGAGUCUACCGCCUUACUGCAGUUUCUCCAACCAAUACUCAACUUGCUCCUUCAUCUUAUUGGUGAUGGCGGGGAAACCCUGCAGGUUCUGUUUAUCUUUUGUAGACGAAAAUUUCACUUUGGUCAUCUGGUUCCUCAAAAUUUGUUGUAGCUAAGUGCCAAUUUUCUUUUUGUACAAGUUUUCUUUUUUUUUUGUUUUGGCCCUGGAAUUAAUUUGAUUGCAAUUUCUUGUUUCUUUACUAUUAAUUUUGUAGGUUGCAGCAUUUCGGGCUAUGGUCAAUAUUUUGACCAGGUAUGCAUUUCCAUUGAUAUUUUCUAUAGUGUUAUUUUUUGGUUUUAUCUCAAUGUAUGCUAAAAAAAUUCAUUAUUCUAAGCGCAGACAUUUUCAUUUCAUUAAGAAAAGAAUUUGCUGAUAUUAAAGAAGUUAAAAGGUAAACAAGAGGAUGAAUCAUCCAUAAAUUAAACCUGAAAUAGAUACUCCCAAAUGUUCCACCACUCAAAUAUGCUUGCUAAUUCAGGUCAAUUAGUCUCAGAAAAGCAAGAUGAUAUUUGAUAUAUUUAUCUCUAAUUUGGCUCUUGGGAUACAUAAAUGUACAUGAUUCAUGUAUGAUUCAUAAUUUCAUAUUAUGUCCUCAUGGAUGAGUAUGUCUAUUCAUACACAUUGGUAUGUAGAAGAUGCAUGUAAUUUUUUUAUUAACCUCGUAGGCACUUCUGAACUGCAACUUGUGAUUGAUUGUUGGCUGCACAAGACUUUGUUCAUUGUUUUAAUUUCUUGAAUUUCUAUUCUGUAUUAGGUUCAUCAGUUGAAUAUGGAGUAUUUGUUAACUGAUAAUAAAUUAAAUCAUUUGCAAAUAGAAUACAAGAUACCACUUUCAUUUCUUUUUAAGUCACAUAUGUGAAGUAUUACUUUUGAUUUAAUCACCACCAUGCAGGGUACAACAAGAGUCAUCUGAUGGGGCUGACAGAAAUCGUUUUCUAGUUAAAUAUGUUGACUAUGCUUUUGAUGACUUUGGCGGUAGGCAAGCACCUGUAUACCCUGGUUUAUCUACAGUGUGGGGCAGCUUGGCACGUAGUAAGGUAAUGUUGAGAUCUGACUUUGUUUUCUUUGGGUAUUCGUAUGUCCAAGUAUGCUUCAAUGUCCUGGAACAGAGCAUAUCUGUUCAUCUUAGAGUCAUUCUUUCGCAGUCUCUUGGAAACGAGUUAUCUUCUGGUUUCUAAGUCCUAUUGUAACUGAUGCCAACAGAAGCUUAAUCUUUUAACUUGCCUAUGAAAUAAAUCCAUAUUACAUCUUCCUCUUAAAUUAUGUGAUGUUUGUUAUACCUGUGCAUGUUUCUGUGCUUUCAUUAUAGUGGAGUUUGGAAAUAUUGUCUACAUCUCAUAUGCUUUUUCCUUUGGAGUGAGAAAUUCUCACUUUUGAUGCAACUUCAAGUAGUAUGCUGUCUUUCAUCUUUUAUUGUUCUCCAUUCCUUGGUCCAUGAUUUAUAUUUUCUUCAUUGGUAAGGUGAGCAAGCCAGCAAUGUGUAAGAUGAAAGCUACAAUUUCUGAAUUUCUAAACUUGGAAUGAACUUUUUUGUUUGGAUUAGUCAUAAACUACUCGAUUUUAAUUUAAUGUCAAGAUUUACUCAUAUUUUCUUCUGAAUGGACUAUGUGACUAAAUUCUAGCAGUUAUACAGGAUUUGAAUUAUUAAUGCUGGAUCUUAUGAUAUGUAUAAACUGACAACUGUGAGCAGCAAUAGAUCUUGCAUUUCCGAGUUAUAUACAAGUAAAGAGUUGUUUUAAGUUUCGUUCUCUAUCUCAUGUGAUCAAGGAGACACAAAAACCCAAUGGACGGUUGGUUAUCAUACUAUUCUCAGGCCUCUCCACUAUGGGUUUGCAUUCAGAUAAUAAUGGUAGUUGCAAUAGUCAGACUUGUGAAGUAUCAUAAACCUGCUCUGUGUAAUUGUUCAUUGCUGGUAGGUUCUGGAGGUUUGUAAUUGUGCUAAAUUUUGUUUUCUGAAACAAUUCAUUUAGCCAUUUGCGAAAAAAGGAAAAAAGAUAUUUGAGAUAAUUGAGGAAGAUAUCUACCUGAUCAAUAUGAUGUGGAAUCAUAUCAGAUGGAGAUGGAUUUUGAUUGUAGUAAUAUUUGCAAGCUUAUCCACGCAUUGAUUUUGCUUCUAUAGACAUGAAUGUGUGUGUGUGUGUGUCUAUAUAUAUAUAUAUAUAUAUAUAUAUAUAUAUAUAUAUAUAUAUAUAUUACACUCAUAUUUCUACAUUCUUUGAUGGUGGUUGAUUGUGUCAGUCUAACUGAUUGGGCAGUUGAACCAAACACCAAUUACCAGUAUAAUCAAUUUGGUGGCAGGUCAAUUUAUUGCUAAAUUAAACCUUUUGGUUCGGUUUGCUAUUUGGUUUAACAGGGUUGUAAAGAAGAGAGAACUAUUGCGGUUAGGGGAGUCUCUAUUUUGCUUAGUUCUACUAAUAUAACAAGUCAUAGGAAAUUUGAUCCAUAUAACUAGGGGUGUUUGGCAUUUGGUCUAAAUGACCAAGCCCAACUGGGCGAAAAUGAAAUAGGGUUUUGAUUCAGUUUGGAAAGAUCAGGGGGCACGUAUUGGUUGUCUGUAACUCUGUAUAAUAUAUAGCAUUUAUGGUAGCAAUUGUGUUUUGUUUGUACUCAAUAAUCAGCAUAGAAUUAUGCUGAGUAUACACAGUGUUGGAAGUUACAUUGUAAUAGGCACUAUAGUAAUACCUCGGGGUGUUUUUAUCAUAGAAUUGUUUGUUCGAAAAUUUAUAUAAUAACAAUUCAUCCAUGUUCCAAUGACUUUGUCUAUGCGACUUCUUUACAGGGAAAUGAUGAGCCUGGUACUCACGCUUGACACUGAUGUAUUUAUGAAUUAAAUGCAUAUAUUGUAUGAGUAUGAACAACUAAUCACAGAAUAAUUAGAAUGACCUCCAAAAUUAUGUUCUUUGCUGAACUUAAAAUUCAUGUAGAAUUUUUAAAGUCUUCGAGUUCACUCUUCAUAUCACAAUUGUAAUCAAGGUUCGUAAUUUCAUAUCGUACCGACGUAUCAAGCUUUGCUCGGUAUAGUACAGUACAGGCAUAUCGAGUGAUACAUCAGUAUCGCUCGGUGUGUGUGUGUGUGUGUAUAUAUAUAUAUAUAUAUAUAUAUAUAUAUAUAUAUAUAUAUAUAUAUAUAUAUAUAUAUAUAUAUAUAUANNNNNNNNNNNNNNNNNNNNNNNNNNNNNNNNNNNNNNNNNNNNNNNNNNNNNNNNNNNNNNNNNNNNNNNNNNNNNNNNNNNNNNNNNNNNNNNNNNNNUGAAGGAUGCAUCUCAUAUGACUUGGAUUAGAGUCCAUAAAAUAAUUGAUUCAGUCAGCUGGUUCUAAUUACACAUUUGAUGCAUAAUAGUUGUUCCUUUUGGAUUCAGUCAACUUCUAGAAGAGUUUAAGAUAGGCUGAAGGAUGCAUCUAAUAUGACUUCUGCAUUCCCCCAUCCUAUACCUUCUUAUGAGUCUAAUAUGUAUAAGAGUUUCUAUAUGUUUCUUCACUGAGAAAUGAAUUGAAGCAAGCCUCAGGCCUCUUUUCAUCAUCCUUUAGUAUCACUUUGUCAUCUACUAUUGCAUCUUUUUCCACUGGAAAUUAACUAUUAAUAUUAAAUCAGAUUCAUUCUGUUGUUCCCAUGAUUUUCUAUAGAAAAAUAUAUGUAGUCAAUACUGUCAACAAAUUCAGACCAAACAGCCUCUUCACUGCAUAAAUUUGUUCCAUUAUCCACUUCAUGACUAUGUCGUCUUAGGCCACUUAUUUCGUUAGUACUUAAUGCUAUGUGCUAUCUAAUACAUCUACGUAGAAUAAAUACACAAAGCCUAUGAUACUGUCAGUGUAUCUCCUAUCUCAGUGGACAACCAAUUUGAAGAUAAGUUAAUAAACAUCUCUAGUCUGACAUGAGAAAGCAGAUAAACAAUUAAGAGUCAAGCUAUCAUGUUUGGAACCCUGCAUGGCAGCAUCUCCAUAAUACAUACCAAGGAGAGAGAUCCAGGACACCUUUAAAGUUCAAUGAUGCAAAGAAGUGGAAACCAUCUAUUUGCAUGUUGAAGGAUCCAAGUAGCAUAUGCAUUUAAUUAUAUAAGGGAAGCAAGAGUUGAAAAUGAAACUUACUAAUGUAGAUGAGUGUCAAGAAACUGAACAAGCUACCAAUUACAGAAAGAACCCACAAGCCUGCAAUUACCUGCAUAUUUGGCUUAGUUGUUAAGAUCUUGAGCACAAACUGCAUCAAUAGAAGGACAUAAUGAAAAGAAAGACAUUAAAAUUCUACCAUCAAAAACUUCUUCAAAUCCUUUCCACAAGCAACAUAGUAGAAAGUUGCCAAAGCCUCAUUAAUUUCAUAUCUUACAGAUUGGGCGAUACUCAGAAAUAGGUCCUCAGGAAGGAAGACUUCAGGAAAUUUUGGUGGAGACCUGUAAAGCAAUCAGAUUCAUGUCAUAGGCUUUAGUUUGCACAGAGAAAGCCUAUAUCUGAAAGAGCUUAUAAUGUGUAUGUCAUAUUGUGUAAGUAUAUAUAUAUAUAUAUAUAUAUAUUCAUGAUGAGAACUCAUAGAGAGUAGUAUUAGAGCAAUUAGAUUUCAGGUUAACAAAUAUCCUAUACCCUUAUGUAGCUAAUUCUUUAAUUCUCAGACAGACAUCUGCAGGAGAUACUCGGUUGUGACAUUAAAAACUCACUAUUAUCAACACAAUCAGCAUAUCAUCUACUCCAGGAAUAAAAAUAUCUCUGUAGGACAUGAUACUGAAAAAGCACAUAUAAACCAAUCAUACUGAGAAAGCCAGUCAUAUGACAAAAUUUUCAGCAGAACUGUUUGGUUACCUGUUGACAAAUGAUGCUCCGUUGAUCCAGAGAAAAGAUAUUGCCAGCAAAAGUAUAAGAAAGUGGCAAAUAAAUGUGAGCAAGUGAUAGCCCAUCCAGACAAAGAGAAGCCAGAUAACAGUAACUCCAGCAAAUAUGCUUCCUGAUAGUUGCAUAUUUCUCCACAGUAUGAUAUCAGCAGCUAUAAUCACAACAAACUUAUCAUUUAAUAAGAUUUGCAUUUUUUACUAAACCAAAUUCAAGAGAAAUGAAAAGGUUCUAGGAGGUGGUGAAGGCAAAAAUAUUAAUAUGCAUUGAACUUAAAAGAACAUUAUUCAGCAUAACAGAAGUACUUGUAUUUUUGCUAAAGUUUACAUUUGUAGAAAUGUUAAUGGACUUCACUGUCUGUUACAAAAUUCAGUAAGCUGUAAAAAUAAUACAUAGGACAGAAAAUAGUGCAACAGCAUCUGCUUUUACCAGUAAUUUGCAUGUGCAUGACUCCAAUAGAAAAAAGAAAUAAAGAAAUAAAGAUUGAUAAUAUAUUCAGAACAAAACAGAAUGUAGCAACCUUGAAGUUUCUAAUUAAACAGGUACUAGGGAAUUAAAGAGCUGCAUUGUUUAUAGCAAUAGGAAGUAAAUAAGAACAAACAGCAUACCUACGAUUGGCCAUGUGAUUUCCAUAGAUAAAAUUAGAAAAAAAACACAUUUCAAUUUCUCAUUUAAUUUAUCUCUUUUUGUAACACUAACAAUUUUAAACUAUUACAAGAACUUAGAGACCACAUACAACAAGUUGAAAAUAAACAAAGAAGCUUCCCAGUGAUAUGUUUGAUAAAAACUUCUAAAGAAGCAAAUAAGAACUUUGUAACGUGAUAAAUAUCUGCUUUGUAAAGCCAUUAGGCACACUUGAUCAACAAAAACAAAUAACAUAAUUACAUAGAUAAAUAUCUGCUUUGUAAGUGAUCCAAAAAGAAAACAUCAUGGACUCCAAAAUUAAUAGACACUAUGCUAUUAUUAACCAAAUAUAAGCCAGGAUUUUGCUCAAGCAUGAUAAAUACAAUACCAAAUAAAAGCCCUUUCUGAUGGCUGCAUAAAGGCCAGUCUGCUAUUGCCUAUCCUACACUCUAAAACAAACUAAUAGUUUGAAUUCUGAUCCUUUAGUCCCAUCAAUCAAGAAAUUAACAUUUCUGCCUUCAGAGUUGGUUUGCAUUUAUAAUAUGGUCUAAAAUAUAUAUAUUCAUUAAAUAUCAAUUGUGUAUUAAAUUCCUGAAAUAUACAAAAAUUUUCAUCAAUAGAUUCCAUCCAAGAUGUUGCCAAACUGACAAUUGGUUCUCCCACUCCAACUUCUAUAUAUUAUCGCCCGCUGAAAUCUCCCAACCCUGAAUACUCUUUUAGUUAAUACCUAUUCUCUGAAUCUAUUGCUCCUAGCAACACUUCAAGCUCUUCAUCCACAAUCCUUCAAUCCAUCCGUCCAUUUUUCACUGACAUUGCUCUCUUUUUGAAAGAGUCCCUUCGUUGCUAAUGUGCUCUACCUUGUCCUCUGUUAUCAAACUAGAAGAGUGUCAACCAAAAUGAAAAAAAGAAAAAAAUAUUUAGAUGGAAUAAGAAUUAAAAUGCUGCCGGUGUCCUUCCGUAAAAGAAAUAGAAAAAUCAGAAAAUAGGAUAAGGAGGAGAAGAAAGGAAAAUGGAGGAUAAAGGGAAGGGACUCCUAAAUUCUUUGAGACAAUUAAUCCACAUAAAAGCCACCUGAUUCCCCCACACCUGGAAAAAUUAUGCAAGCUCAAGAUAAAGUUCUAAUUUAUCCUGGUUGCCUUCUUCUCUUCUAAACUUAGGCACAACAAAUAUGAUGAAAAUAUCUGAGAACUAGCAAAAAGAAGGGGGGUAGGACCCAAUCAUAUCAUGACUAAAUUGUCCAAAUGAAAUUUGAUCUUCAUCAUUCUUCUCUCGUUUCUUCACCAUGACAUCAAAUCCAUGGUCUGCUCAUGAUUAACUAGAAAAUAUCAAGCCCAAUAGGUUUCUGAAGUAAGUGUAAACACAAUUACGAUGACUUCGUAGCACACCCACUUCACAUUUUCUAUUCAAAACAACCAGAAUUUGCAAGUAAAAUAUUCAAAACACUUACCAAAUACGAUAAUAUCAUACAGAAUAGAAAUGAUAAUGGAGAUCGAGAUAGACCAUAAAUUGCAAACAGAACAUACAUUUUCCUCCACCAAGUAGGGCAUGUACCGAUUCCUUCCUUCCAAACAACCAUUUCUUUCUUGAAUUAUGAAACAAGGGCUUCUCAUCAUCGGAAUCCGAAGACGACCCUCGAUAUUCGUGGAUCUUCUCGUUGAUCCUCUCUGAGCCAUCAACUUCCGACAUCUUCACUUGAAUCCUUCAACCAAGACACCAACCCAUAACGAUCAGACUAAAACCUGGACGCGUAUUGCGAGAACAUCGUACCAUUACAUGAAAGAUAUACAUCAAAAGGAAAACGUUUACUACAUCUCGCCUAAAGAAGCAGAAUAUUGGUCUCAGAACGAAAGAAAAUCGAUCCAAGAUGGAAAAAAAUUCAAAAAAAAAAAAGAGAGAAUAGAUCGAUCUAAUAAGAGCGAAGAAUUCGAUCUCACGGGAUGGAUAUCGGAGUUACAAGAGAGGAUUAGGUUCUGAGAUUCGCGCAAUGGCGUAUCUUAUUCUUAGCCUGUCUUCUUCUUCCGUUGGUUUCCCUUCUCUCUCGCACGAACCGAAACGGAAAGCAGAGAGCAGACGGGGAGGAGCCGAGGCCCUCCUUAUAUACGUCUCCGUCGGGAUCAUCGGACGGCUGCCAAAAGUUCUGCUCGCUGCGAUCCGACUGAUGCUAAAGAUUCGACGUUAGUGAUUCUCGACGAAGAACUUAAGCCGUCGGAUUUAUUUGAUGUCGAAGUGGAUUUAACCGCCCGGCUCGAGAAACGGCCGAGAAGCGGGUUCGAAAUUAACUGGUCAGACCAAAUUACCAAAACACCCAAAGAACGAUAGCAUACUCCUAAGAUAGCCAAAGCUAAGAUGGUAAUUUGAGUAAUUCCAUUUCAAAUCAAAUCCCUUGACAUCAAAACACAAGAGAUGCAAUCAUUUUCUCAGUUAAUAACAAUGAGAAUAAUAGCAAAACACCCACACAUAUUAGAAAGAAAAACUUUUUGGACCCAAAAUUUUGGUGUCUCAGCAUCAGCAAUCCACAUAAUAUAUUUCUGAUAACCCAACUCAAAUCUUUAAUUUAAACAGGUAAUGUACAUCCUUACAAAAGACUAAUAUGGAUACAGAGAACGGGUAACAUAUCUAAAUCUGUGCUUUGCAGGUCUGCUUAUUAUGCCCUAGCCCUUGGCACUUGCUGCAGUGAACUGCUCUUUUUAUCACAAUCCUAGGUUCUACAGGCUUUUCCUUUGGCCGGCCGGCCAGCCGGCGGGUACGAGGAGGCCAUGUACUUGCAGCAUGGAAGAGGUUGGUGCAGACCGGCCGACCAACAUCAGGUAUGGGAUUGAUGGACAAUGAAUAAGCUAGACGGUAGCACCCCGUCGAGAAGUACUUGGAACAAUAAUCAUAUAUGCAUUGAUUGGUUUGUUCCAGUACAGCAAGAGCGUGCACACAAGGUAGGCCAGUCACCUGCCAUCGUCUGCAUGUGCAUUCCCUAGUUUCGGUGUUGACGAUUUUGGUCGACUCAUCGCUCACCUCAAACACACUGCCAGCUGAACAAAUCACACCAAGAGAGCGUGCUUUGAUCAUCUCUUCCUGUACCUUCUGAUUUGCGGAGGGUACAAGUGCCUCAGUCCAAGUGUUUGAAGACUCACGGCGGCUAAACAUCAACUCCAUCAGCUUGCACCUCAGGAUGUCAAUUAUCUGCAGUACUGAUGGUUCAUAUCUCGUCGAUACCCAGCUGUUGAAUUUCUCUGUAGCACCAGAUGAGUAAUGACCGUGUCUCGAACCCUUGAUGAAGGCAUCAGACCAGGAUUCUGGUUUCAUGGCCAAAACCCAUUCAGCAAGUUCUUUUGACUGAAUCCUGAUGUUUUCAAUGGAUUCAUUGAACUCAUCAACUUUACAAGCAUAUAUGGCUCUUCUAAGAUGAUCGACCAUUUUAUCCUUCACUUCCUGUGUCCAGGUGUUCUCCAUCUCUGUCAUAAAAUUUUCUAUGAGGCACUGUUCGCUGUAGCAAUGAAAACUGUCCUCAAACACCUUGGACAAUUCCUCCUCCAAGCCAUAUUGACAGCUUGACACAAAAGUGAUGACACGAGACAGAGUAAAAGCAGACUUAAGCUGUACCAAAAACCAAUGCCAAUUCUCCCUUGUCUCAGAAUCUACAACAGAGAAAGCAACCGGAUAGAUAUCAUUCUCUCCAUCAACUGCAGUUGCGACUAGAAACUUCCACUGCUUAUUUGCUUUCAGAGAUAAGUCAUCAAGAAAAAGGAGAGGGCGGCAACCAUGCUCGAAACCAUAAAGUGAGGCAUGAAAGGCAACAAAGAAACGAAAUCUUGAAUCAUCUGAUGUCUGUAAUGUUGCAACACUACCUGGAUUUGUCUCUAUUAUCCUCUCACAGAACCAGGGCAGUUGAUUGCAAGCCUCUUCAUGUGAGUUGUGGAGCUCUUUCUUGGCAAUAAAUUUGCCACGCCAUGCUUGUGAGUAGUUUAAGCUGAGUCCAUAUUCUCGUUGAAGAUCAUUUGCAAUAUCCAUUGGCUUAUAAUUUGGUGUCUCUCGCAACUUGUCCUUUAUAAUACUAGCAACCCAUCUUUGUGAUGCAAGCCGACGACUUUCCUUACUAAGUUCCUUUCCACAUGUAUGAGUAUCAUUUAUUUUCUUAAUCAUAAAUUCUUGUUUGGCAGAUGACCUAGAUGCAUGUAUUCUCCAUGGACAACCCUCAAUAGUACAUUCAGCAGUUACCCGAGAUCUGUCAUUCUUAAUAAAUCUAUACAUGAAACUAUUUGCAAUGGCGUACUUGUGCAAUGCAUCACGGAAGGCCUUUGGACUAGACAAUACCUGACCUACGCCAGUGAUCAUACUAUUCCAAUCGGUACAUAAUCUUCGCCGUUUAGCUUCAUCAAGAGUAUCUAGUGAGGUGGUGUUAGCAUCGGUCAACAUACCUGAGUCAGCCACAACGCUCCUAAUUAUCCUACCAAAAAUAAAUAAAUAAAUCUAAUCACUCUUCUCCUGUUUGAACAACUUUUGCAAUAAAAAUCUGAAGUGUAUGGUACAUACCUGUUUUCAGCUUUCUUCAGGAUAUAUAUGUCAGUUGUAUCUGAAUUUGCAUUAAAAUUAACCAUGCGUCGCAGGUCUUUGUCGUUAGAUAUUGUGAUGAGAGUCCGUUUGUUUCUUGGAAGGAAGUACUUAAUUGAAAAUAGUUCAGCAUUGAUGUUAAACAUAGAAGAUAUCUCUGACUUCAAAUCAUAGAGUGACAUUUCACUGUCAACAUCAAUUGCAUGUGCGUCACCACCAGAAUAAGACAGGGUUCCAUCAUUAUUUGUAACAAAUCCUCCACCAGAUUGGCAAAUAGCUAGAAUUUUCCCUCUUCCCAUGGUAUAGAACAAUUCUUACAGCCACUUCAUGAAUCUGAGUUAAUGAUGCAAAAACAAGCACAAAAUUAAACAAAAUAUGAAUAGAACACCAACCUCAUGGAAUAAUUAAAAAAAUGAAUAGAAUUAAAUAUAGCUAGAUAUUUUAUGUUCUUCAAUGAUGGAAACUAUGUCCAGAAGUCGAUUCAAUGAGUAAAACUCGGAAUGCUUUCUUCACUAGCUUUCGGCCAACUUCAAGUGCAAGCUUUGCAGGACUGGUGUAAGGCCAUCUCAGUAAGAGUAAAUUUUAAGUGGAGAGUCUGAAACCCUUCUAAUAAAAUUGUCUUUCUAAUUAGUUAGUCUCUUGUUUUAAGAUUCUACCUAGCUGAUUACGAAUUAUCCUUUUGAACAUAAAAUAUCAUUAAAGAAAUUACUGAAUUUUGCUUCUUUUGAUGCUUAUUAAAGAAAUGUAUUCUAUUUUCAUUGCCAAACCCAUAUUUAUUUGUUCUAAAAUGAAUUUUUCUAAACAAUUUUCUCGUUAUACCACUAGAAAAUUGCUUACUAAAAUCUAAUUUUGGAUGGCAGGGUAACGAUGAUCUUCCUGACCCUUCAGAACUAUUACAAUUCUCUAUCAAAACUUGGAAUCUUCAUGUUUGAUUCAACAAUAAACUAAGUUUUUUGCUAAAGCUCAUUUUAUUCAAAUUACAUUAACUAAAGUCCAAGUCUGACAUUGAAAUCAGAGAACCUACCAGAAUUUAUCUUUGAUUGAUUUUGUCCGUCACUUCCACUUAUGGAAACAAGAACUUGAGUAUAUAGUUGUUUUGGCUUUGCAUUGCAAAUAGCAUAGAUCUGGAAAUUUCUAUGGAUUUGAAUUAUACCACAAGCCGUAGGGAUUACUGUUUAAUUCCUUGAUUAGGGCUUCUUCCUACCUAAUACUUGCCAGUUAGACAACAAUCCUAAAUGUUGUUGUCAUGGUCUAUCAACCAUAUGCAAUUGAGGCAUAGAAGUGAGCACAGAUAUCACUGAUUAUUAAAGUGGAGUCCCAGUGUCCCACUACCAGCAACGAUUUAUAUUGCCCUCGCCGAGCAUGGAGCAAUUUCUAUGCAAAGCAACAAGUUGAAUUAUCCAAAAUAAUACAAGCCAUUGUAGCUCAUAAAACAAUAAACAACUUAUACCUACGCAUAAAGAAAUAGAGCAUUAAAUCAAAAGAUUCAUGCAGCGGCAUCACCACUGAAAUUUAGUUAUUUCAUCGAACUCUGUCAAGCGACUCUAACAACCUUUCAUUUUAGACCUUCCAGAAUGAAAUUAAUUGGACAAUCUAUAUUGUCUGUGGUCCUAGACACCCAUUACGAGACCACACUGACGCUUAAAUGUGCCUCAAAACUUCUAAGCAAUUUCUGCAUCAUUUUAAAUAUUUUAAUUGGUAGCAAAAUAAUCUUGUCAAAUCAUAUAGCAGCUCUGCACUAUAUCGAUAUGUUACGGACGCACCACAUAAGCAAACUAACCUGCUAUCCUAAAUGCAUAUGAAUACUACAGUUAAUAUGCAUCUUGCACCAAGGUUGAAAUACAAGAACUAAGUUCAGUUCCAAUCAGGUAUUCGGAGUUUAGGUUAGGUAUCUUCAACAGCUUUGUCAAGGUUCAGAGUUUAAGUACAAAUUAUCAAAGCAAGAACUGCAUGAGGGAAUAAUAAUGGAAAGACAAAGAAAGAAAGGAAACAUAUUGCACCUUCUUAUGUAUGUUGCCUAAACUAGAAUCUACAGAUUCAGUUGUUUUAUUCUAAUAAAGAAAUGUAUCUAAUAAAAUGUAUGUCAAAGCUACCAUCUCUUUAAAGUUUAAACAAUCUACUACUGAGACCAAGCAUAUGCAACAAAGAAAAAUAAUGGUCUUGAUGCAUGGUUACGUCUAGUAACUUAAGAUUCCCCUUAGCGUGUGCCACACCUAACUAGAAAGAACCACAAUGAUCCCCAACGGAUGGAGUAAAUCGCAAUCUGUGUUGGUCAGGGCUGACCAGAUUCGCAUAAUUCUCAACUAAAUCAACAGAAAAUGGUGAAACCAAUCUCGAGUUGAACACGAAUACCAGCUGAAGAGCUCGCUAACUAUUGUCAAUCUUGUCUGUCUUCAGAAAGCCCUUCAGUAAAGUUAUAAUUAACAUGUUCCGGUUAACAAGAAAUCUUUUUUUUCAUUUGAGGGAAAACAAAAGAAACAUACUCGCCUUGCUAACUUUUUUCCUCCGCGACCGUACACAAAAGAGGUCCAUAGGCAUGAAAAUCCACAAAGACAAAUCGACAAGAAGACUUAUUAUGCUGAUACGGAUUAUAGUUCAUUCGAGAUGAUUAUUUUAGGAGAUAAGUGUAGCCGAAUCACAAGCAAAAGGAAACUAGCACCCGGCGACAGAAUCAAUACUGCUUUUCUCCUUGAGCCUACCUUUCCUCGGGGAAUUGAUCACCGCCAAGAUGGAGAACGUUUGAGAUUAUACCCCAGGGAGUCGAAACCCAAGAAAGAAGAGAGGCUAAAUACCGAAAUAAAUUGUAUAUUGUUCGGUCCUAAUUCAAUAAAUUCCAAGAAAGCGCAAAAAGAGGAAAGAUCUUCUUGGUCAAGAGAACUAGAAGGAUUCAAAUGACUGGAUACCCCAAACCAAAAUAAAACCAGAUCUAUCAAGAUUCGGCAGCUAACUCCUGGUCGCCAUACUAAAUAAGCCCGCAAGGCCCAGGAUCUUCGAAUUCAGCAAUGAUACCAGCAAAGAAAUUGGCAACAGAAAGAAAAAACAAGAAGUGAGAACUUAGGAAUCGGCACCUGGAAACCAGGCGAUGGUCUCCCCAGAGGAGAUGAUUCGCGAUCCAGAACGACCAAUCGAGAACUCGCUUUCAAGAUUUAGGCUCCCAAAUCGAUCAACCAAACCGGAGGAACCAAUAAAUAAAAAAAAUCCAGAAGAAAUCGAGGACAAAACCACAGUGUCGAGGGAAGGGGGUUUAGAAGUCGACGGAAGCCGAAGGGUUAUCCCAAACCGAAAGGGAUCACCACAUAAUAAUCUUACGGUCCAGCCUGAUAGAUCAAGGCCCGGUCCGGAAUCGCGGACUGAUAAUUCAGACCCAAGGAGGACCGGACCGGACCGAACCGGGUAAAAACUUUAAAGCGGCACAAAAAUUAAAGCUUUAGGCAUAGGUUUUCAAUUAGAAAGACUGGGAUUUCUUGGGACCUUUACCUCCAUUGCAACGGCUGUGCCGAAUACAAAGGAGUAAUCAACCCCAUAGUCUUUUUGAUAGAUUAUGUUUGUGACACAUGUGAAGCAAUUCUAGUAGCUCCGGCGAUGUAUCUCUCAAAUGCUAAACCUAGAACCUGACAUGGUAUCUCCUACCGACCACACACCAAAGACAUAUCCUCGUCAACAAGUAUUAGACCUUCGAGAGUACAACCUGGUGACAAGAUAUAGGAAGGGAGGUUGAAAGGAUUAACUUAAUACAAGAUGCCCAUUUUUUUUUUUUGCUCUCUAGAGAAUAUCCUGCCUGUUUUCUCAAAAUACGAAACACACUAGUAGAAAUAAUAGAAAGAAAAAAAAAAAAAAAACAACUCCUUAAGAUGGUACCAAGAGACUGGCAGCAGAGUUAAAGCGAUCGCAACAACUGCAAAAGUCACUCAUGGAUGCACACACAAGUACAUUAUUUGUCUAAACUUCUGAACAUAGGUUUUAUUAAUAACAAUGUGUGGUAAAUAUGAACUAUAUACAUAUCAUAUACUUGCUCUUGCAUCUAUUCUGUUUAUAUUUCCUGAUACGGGGGAUUAUAGAUAUAGUGGAUAUAGAAUAUGCGCCCAUGGGCUGUCUCAACAAAGCUCAACAGCAUUUUUAGAGAUGCUUCCCCGAAGAUCCAGAGAGAGAGAGAGAGAGAGUUUAACAGUGCCAGAACACAAGAUCGUCCCUGCAUCUUCCAGAACACAGUCUGGCAUUAGAGGCAAUAAGUUAAUCUCGCCAAUGCAGGAAUCAGAAUAGCUGGAAGAACAAGGUCGUCGAACCAUCACUAAAUGACCUCAGCCCUGCCGGCUUAACCAGAACUCUGCACAAUGGGCAUGUCCUUUCUCUUUCAAACCUGAAAAGUUUAAUGGUGGGUCAUGAAUAAGCAAAUUCAAGACAAUUCCUACUCAAACAGACAGACAUGAAACCUGGAGAUAUAAAAGAUAAUUGCGGAAAACUAAACUGUAUAAUCAAGAUCACACACAAGAAGGAAUUUGGGCAACUUGUUCCUCCAAGGCAGGCAAAGUGGUGACAAUUUAAAACAACCCAAAAUACUACGGGAAAUAUUAGUGGGAGAAUCUUUAUGUAGUCCAAAUAAUUUUUCCUUUUAUUUGGACACUCCAUGUAUUUUUUAAGUAGAGCCACGUAUUAGAUCACAGCCAACAGAUGACAAUUAGAUCUUAGAAGUAUUGCUGUUUCCAACAUCCUAUAAGACUGCUUGUAAAAAAAUCCUAAAAACAAAGAAAAGCAAACAAAACUGAAAAUGAUGAGGUGAAUAGACACGUUACCAUUCAGAGACACAGUCUUCACAGAAUAUGUGUUUACAACGAAGUAGAAUAGGAACAUUCAUCUUCUCUUGGCAAAUGGCACACAGAUCACCAGCUGCAAUUACCUGAAUUUUUUACAUAACAAGUAAAUCAAGCAUCACAUUGUCACAAAGGCACCAUUGAUUUUGUUUUGGCUUCAAUGCCAGCAGAGCUGAUUUACAAUUGCAGAUUGUUCUUGCAACAAAAGUAAUUGCAGAAAUGAAUAUGAUACCCUGAAGUUUGGCCACUCUAGAUAGGAAAUAAAGUAUCUUCUGCUAGUAUUUCAAAAGCACUCUCUCAAGAAUCAUUCUUUUUACAAGCAUGAAAUCAAAUAUAAAUGUGCAAAUUCAAAUUUUCACUAAAAAGAAGGUGCACGUAGUUAACCUAAUUCUGAUAUCAAUAUAAGAGCUUAAUUGAAUUUCUUUCCUUAAUAUUUGCAACACUAAGCAGAGAUUAAAGACCAUAUUUAUCAGAUACAUAAUUAAGCUCAUAACUGCAGAAGCAUUCGUUAGGUCUCUUAAUGGCAAAAACUAUGCUAGUUGAAUACUUAAAUCAUUGGAGAGAUGUACACAAUGUUAGGGACAUCCUCCAAGUACAAUAAAUAAUUGUUACAAGUGACUUUCUCAGACUAACACAAGUCACAAGCUAUUUCAUUAUGAUUUAACAGGAAAUAUGCCACCCAACUUCAGGACAUGACCCAAUCCUUGAAAGAAUAUAAAAUCAAUAAUGUCCCAUAUCUGACCAAAAGAUCUAGCUAGAAGUUAGAUUUCAGAUUCCUUGAUUCAUACAAGAACCUAGAUUUUCUAAUGGAAAUCUCACGGAUAACAUUAAAAAAAAAGUUCUCAUCACAACCAUGGGAAUUAACAACGGUCAUCCUCAUAUAAACCACAAAGUUGCCCAACAGUAAGCCCUAGUACAAUGACGUUAGGGUUGAAUGAUCAUGGGUUAGCUUCAGUUGGCCUUGUAGGCUUGCACCUAGUUAUACAAGACAGGUUGGACUCAAAUGCCAUUUUGGCAAUCCAGAACCUGAACUAAAACUUGAGUAAAGGUUAUUAUUUGGGCUUCCUAAGUCUUUAUCUGUGUAUGACAUAUGCCAAAUUCAGGUUACAAAUUUUGAUGGUUAAACAUGUAACAGCCAAGAUUUCUUUAUCACCAAGGGCAGCUAUCCAGAAGGUGAGGUGCUGCUAGCUUACUGGUAAAGAGAUCGUUGCAUGGUCUUUGGGAUCGAAUCCAGCCUCCGCCACUCACCCUUUGCGAUAAAGAGCAGACAUCCAUACCAGAACAAAGAAUACGAAGUAGAAUGCCUCAAUGCCCCGCAUAUUGUUGGUGUUUGAGUUGAUUAAAAUAUAGUAAAUUGAAUGGGACAUAUUUUAGCACAGUUUAAGAAUUAUGAAAUCAUUUUCAGACUUUCUAUCAGAUAUAAAGCUGCUGUUCUGAUCCAAAAGUGUUAAGUGAGGACUAUUGCUAACGUCACAGUUUAUGCUAGCAAUAACUGCAUGCACAAUUUCAGGCAAUUCACUUAUGUCCUUUGUCUAGGCUAGUAGCUAGGAACCAGCAGUGGGAUCUACAUGAGGUGAAUAUGCAUCCCUUUUCCCUAUUCCAACACUUCCAUGGAGCUCAGUCAUUACUUUUCUUCCCAAUUCUACAUAAAGUAAGAUUUUAUGUUAUUCUAUAUCCAACCUCAGAGUGAUGAGAGAAACUUAAUAUUAUAAAGAUGACUUAUGUUAAAGAAUCAUGAUAUCAGAUGAUCAUUCUUUUGUCAUUACACAUGUUUAAAGUAGCUAAAUAAUACAAAGAUAAAAAAAAAAAUAGUCCUCGAUGAUGGAAAUGAUCAAAUUAAAUAACUAAAUAACAGGGAUCUAGAAGCGAAGCUAUUGUAAGACAGCCAAGGAUUGGAAAUGAAGGCAUGGCAAUAUAUGUCACCAAAUUUAAUACAUAAGCUAUCGGUAUAUGAAUUUGAGCAAAAAAGUACAAUACAAUUUGGUGAAUUGCAGACAUAUGAAUAAUCAAUUAUCAAAAGUUCAGCAAUAACAAAUUGUGGCAAAGGUCUCUAUCGGUGUUGCAUGUAAUUAAAUAUAUAUUAGACAGCGAAAAUACAUCUUAACUAAGGCUAAAGCUGUAAAUCAUUUGACAAAGAAUGAUAUUCAACUACAGUAAGCCUAAGAAAUAAAAUAUUGAAACAAAGAAUGAUAAACAACGACAUUAAGCCUAAGAUAUAAAAGAUUGAAAUGAUCAAGAGUUCACCUGUUCAGACGUUGCAUAAGACCCAUAAUGUACUUCUUUACGUGAUAGUGCCUUCAAUGCAGCAAAAAAUGAUUGAACCUGAAAUCAGAGAGUUGGAAAUAUCAAAGAAGAUACAUGUUUUUUGUGGAAAUGUAGUUUGUUCUGUCAAGCUGAAAAGUUCAGCUUGAUGAGCACUUUCAAGAUCAAUAUAACAAGUACCAGAAACUAGCAUUCAAUAAAGUAUACCACACCUGCUCUACAACUGAUGUCAGCUUGAAAGUAAGAUACAGUCCAGUAGUAAGAGAUGAAAACAGGCUCCCAUAUUCCUUGUUCAGGAAGAAUCGGUACCAAACAGCAGUUGGCAAUAAAGAGCGGUAUAAAAGUAGAAAGUACUCUACAAGAGUUAGCAUUUGACCCUAAUAAAGAGAACAAAGAAAGGAAAUGUGAAUUAACAGAAGCUGAAACUUUCCAAAAGUCAAAUAUUUUAAGUACAAUAAAUGUGAAUCAUUAUACAAACAAGAAAAAACCAAAACAUAAAAUUGGCUUUAUGCAAUACUAUGAAUUUCAUUGUCCAUCUAUUGGAAGUUGCAAUGUAUAAGAUGUCACGAGUUUGAAUGAAAAAUAAGCGUUGACAAUGAACAGAUACAGAAUUCCAAAAGAAUAAUGAAGUUAGGACUAUUGCUAACAUAAUAAAGAACAGCUAAUAAGGUAACUAAAUACAUUUAGAGAAUUAGCAUUACUAACUUCACCAACUUAUCAAAUUAAGUGGAAAGAAACAAUGCAUACCAAAUUUUUGAGUGGCAAAUAUGCAAGCUGGAAAUAAUUUCACUAGAAAGCAAAGAGGAAUUUUAAUUUCACUAGAAAUCAACUGUGAUUUGAUUAUAAUUAUAUAAAAUCUACAACAUCUAAUAAGAUUUCAGCUUUGCAGCAGUCUUCCCAAUGCAAUGACAAACCUGAAAACUAAUUGAACUCAUGGGGAUAGUCAACAAGAGGAUUAGUACAAGAAUCAUCAUAUCAACAAGCAUAUUUGACCAGUCUUCGGACAAAUCAAAAAGCAACCAUCUUAGGAAAGACAAACUCAACACUUGAAAUGAUAACUGAAAAAACCUACAGUUUUAGAACCUAUAAAAAGAGGAGAGUAAAAGCAGGAAAUGGGAGGGGAGAAACAGAAGCUGUCCUUUGAAAGGUCAGAAGCCUUGAACAUCACUAUUUGGUAAAUAUUCAGAAAACUAAUGAUAUUUUCAUCCAGCCAUAGAGACCUCCAAUUUAAUUGGAAAAUCAAGACCAUCUUAGCUUCACUAAAACAGAUGGGUCUUUGAGAUCACCAGUUAAAAGUUCAUAUAUCAUGAUAACUACCUAAAAAUUUUCUUGAUGUGCAGAACAAAUUCACUUUCAAGCUAGUGCUAGCUACUAGAUAUGUGUAAAUGUACAUGGUAAAACGAUUACUUUCUAAUGCAAUACCAACUAGGUAUUUAUAUCUGUUACUAAUUACAUUGUUAGCCAUCUAAAUAUUGAAGGAUAAUUGAUAUAAAAAGGACAUGUAAUUAUUAAACAGUCAUAUAACAGAAACAUGAAAAAAAGGCUUACCUGCUUACGAUAGCUACGGCCUUUAAAGUUUUUGUAGUAUAUCAAGAGAAUACACUUCACAACCAUAGCUGCUUGGCGCAUCACUACAUCUGGACAGUAAUACUCAGUGAGCAAGUUGUGAAGGAAAUUCUUCAUGACCUAAUAAAUACAGGAAAUAUCUAAAACUAGACUAAGACAUAGUUUUAAAGGAGAAUAUAUUUGGAAAGCAAUAAACCUAUGACUCAUUCAAUUUAGACAAAUAAAACAUGCUUAAUACUAGCAAUCCAUAAUGAUGAAGUGUCAAGUCUUUGCUUAUAUAUGUUUAUAUUCCUAAAUGGAGGCCAAUGAAUAUGUGUUUAAAUGAUUCUGACAAGAUUAACAAUUCCUGAUGGAAUGUUCCGAACAUGUACCAAGCAAUCAACCACGUCAAACGGAAUUGUUUGCGACAGAAAUUUAUGCAUUGCAUCAAGAAAUAACUCAUCUCAUAGACUUCCUAAUAAUGAAUCUUUGAUGGGAAUAGCAGCAAAGAAAGUUUGUAGAUACAGACAAGAAAAAAUCAUUCCACAAGACACAAGUGGAUUAAUCUUAGUCCAAAUGACAUUAUAUCCUCCAUACAAGUUUCCCCUCUUUAAAAUAUGAGAGCAUUGUUAUUAAACUUGGACCUCAAGUUUAAUAAAUUUUGGAGGAAGCACUUGAAAGUAUUCUAGUCUUUUUGUUGGACUUUUUUUUGUGAGUGUGUUACCUGCCCCCUCUCUCUAAUUGUCCCCUCUAUCAUCAUUUUCCUCUGUCAUUUCUGUUAGUGUCCUCUCUCGAUCCUUUGUUGUCAUCCUCUAUUUUCCCUUUUUUUUGUCCUUUAUUUAGCUCUCCAUCGUUGCUCUUUUCACCAUCGCCCUUUUCAUGGCCACUUUCUAUCUUUUGGUCAUCGAUUUUCUUGAAUUCAUUUAUAACUUGCAGUCCGACCACUUCACUUACUGGUCCAACCAGUGAAUCAAUAACCUGAUGCUUAGCAUGGAUGAUGUUCGAACCGAUCUCAUAAUUAGGUCCUCUAGUCUAAAGAUUGACAAAGGACUCUUUUUGUAGAAAUUGAUCAAAACUGAGUAAAAAGGUUAAGCUUCAUUUUUCUUGUAGAUGCAUAUACCAAUUUUAGGAACAUGAAAUACAAAGAUUACCAGUUUCCUGUUAAAAAAUUGUGAUUAAUCUUUUAAUAAGCACUCGACAAAGGGCUACCCAUAAAUACACCCAUGAUUGGAUCAAUUAUUGCCAUACUUCCAAUUGGAUCAUAUAUUAGUACACCUUGCAAUUCAAAAUUAUCUACUUGAAUACCACCUUAAUUUCUUGUCACAUAGCACUUUAAGUCUCAAACAAACAAAAAUCAUUUAGAUGUACUGUACGGGGACACUUUGGGACAUUAUAGGUGGCUUUUGUUGUUGAGUUGAUGAGAAUUGAUUAUCACUGCUGCAUGAUAUGUUAGUGUUUGUGCAUUCCAGCUCCACAUUGACAUGAUACAACCACCACCAAGUUGCGAAAUCAUUCCCCUGAUAUUUCAGCAUGACAUAGUCAAGAUGAAGUUAAGCAGCCAAGAAAAGAACUAAGCAAAACACACUAGCACAAGGAGAGGAGACAAGAAAAUCCUAGAUACUGCUAAACUAGAGAAAUACAAAGAUAUAGGCUUGAAUCUUGAUCAAUCCAUUUGCAACACUACUUAUGAAAGGAAGAUUGGGAACCAGCUAUGGCACUGUAAGGUAAAUAAAAAUGAAAAGAUAUGUGAACAUAAAAAUCACUAACUUCCUUCAGAUUAUUUUUUCAAGGAGUAGACAAAAAUCCAUAUAGUAUAAACUAUAAAGAGGACACAGUUGGAUAGUGAAUUACAUUUUCAUAGAACCAUAUAAGUUAGAAUAGCAGCAUCCACUUCCCAUGUGCAAGACAAGAGAACAAUUAAAUUUGACAAAUAAUGAACUAGAGGAGUCUUCACAGCUGGAGAAAUAUCACUAAACAUACCAAAGCUGUACAAAGAUUUAGGUUAUAGACGAGACUAAAUAUCUCAAUGUAUAAUAAGCAGGUUCAAACAAAACAGAAUACCAAGAGAAGAUUACUCUCAGCAAAGUGGAUAGUGGAUACCAUUAACCAAUAUAAUAAAUACGGCAUGCCAAAAUCGUGGUAUUUCUUUUGGAGGAAGCAUAAUUAGUGGAUACAAGAGAUCAUCGUUCCUGUACCACCAGUAGAUGCCAAAUACGUGUACCAUGCAGACCAGUAUAAUUCCAACAAUCACAGAUAUUUUUCGCUCUCCCUGCAAAGACAACAACCAGUAGAAGUGUGACUGAUCCGAUUAUUAGUAGAUGCCAUUAGCCUACCAAUACUUGAAUAUAUUCCUUGAACACCAACAUCACUGAAAGGUUGACUUUAUUAAUCUUCACGCAUGCUGAAUUUUAGAAGUACUGGUCUUAAAUGAUUACCUAAUAGCUACGUCAAUUCAGUCAUCUAACAAGGAAAUCUGCAACAGUAAGCUUUAACAAUGCAGAAAUUAACAGUUUCCUCAUUAGCACAUCAUAUUGUUCCCAUCUUAUCGGCUAUAUGCUAUAGUCUAGUGUUGUUGAAAACAAAACUUAAUAAAUUACACUGUUUAUGAGGACAACAUGUUAUCAGUCAUGUUUAAAAGGUGAAGCACAAAAUCAUGAUGUUCGAAAGGAAGAGUUGUUUGAUAAGGGCUCUCCUUGGUGAAAUUUUACUGAAGCAAUUCACAUAACUAAACAUUUGUUGGGUUCACAUUCACCCCAAAAAUUCAACCUAACCUAGUUGGGACUUGGGAGAAGGGUCAGAAGUGUUGGCACCAAAAUUAAGACAGCAUACUUGAAGACAUAUGAAUCAGUAUUAAUAUACAUAUCUCGUCAGUGUAAACAUCCUCUCAGCAUUACCUACAUAUGUUUCCAGCAAUGUGAGAAAUCUGAUCACGAACAGAAGUACAUGGGAAACAUAGGGAGACUAGUCAAUAAGCAACAAGAAAAAGAAAUCAUGGGAAAAAUGCCAUACAAUUAUGAAGAUCAGUACAAAUACACAGAGAAGUUUUCACAAAUGUCUCAACAUAAUGCUGAAAAGAAAAUUACACUGUGAAUUGUGUAUAGGAUAAAAAAAGUUGUUGUGUAGAGAAGUAACAAACCUUUAAAGCAGUCUGUUUUCUCAAAACAGCAUUGGACUUAAACAUCACUGCUGAGAUCCAAAUAGUGACCAAGAAACCUGUAGUUUUCAAGAAAAUUAACAUUCAAAAGUCAGGUAAUAAGUGAACAAGCCAAUUUGUAUCCAGUGAUCCAGAAGCAUAGAAAAUUAGGUCCAUAAUGACAGCUACUCCAACAAAAGUACAAUACAAAUAUAAAGAGAAACAAAAAAAAAAGUUAUACAAAUCAAAUCAAUAAUGACAUUCUUAAAAAUGACACUGCCUAUAAGCCAUGAACAUGUUCCACAUCAAUAAUCAAAAAGCGCACAAUUGGAAGAAAUAACAAAGCAAAACAAACAAAAGCACUUCUAGAACUUGUCAUAGAGCAGUGUUUACAUGUAACACACAACUGCAAAGGAAACAACAGCAUAAGUUUUAAGCAAACACUACAGCAUAAUAAACACACAAAAUGCUAUCUUGGAAGGAAAAGGAUGCAAACAUGUAUAUUGCAAAUUUUGAGACGAUAAAACCGAGGCAUCAGCAAAAUGAUCAUAAUUCGAGCAUCUCCAUCAGACAAUUCUCAAAGUUUCUCAACAACACUAACGAAAUAACAGAUGCGAACAUCCUUACCCUGCAAAUGCUGUCUGAUAAAGACUACCAAAAGAAGCAACGAGAAUGGCAGUAUCUGCUCGAUCCAUUUAGCGAUCCGUUGUAUAUCAUAUCUCUGAUACGACGAAUCCCUGUUGUUACCUGUCAUGUUCACAUCACCAUCUGCGCUGUGGCCGCCAAAUGCGGAGUCAGAUGUCGGCACAGAAGAAGACGGCGAGGCCCCCUCUCCAACCCCAUUAUCACUUACUCCAUCUCCUCCCUGCCUCUCGGAUGAAGCAGCGAUCAGCUCACCAGGGACAACAACACCAGAAUUCACCUCUCCACCGGGACCCAGAGUCGAACGAUGCAGCUGGCUCGACGCCACCCGGAGGCUCUCCUGAUCGCCAGCCCCCACUAUCCUUAUCGACACCUCCCCACCGCCGCCGGUGGGGGACGUGGAAGACUCGUCCACCCGGGCAGGACCAACCUCUGGCAGCGGUAAUCCCCCGCCGAUCAAUCUCUCGCUUUCCGAUUGGCUCGCUUCGGGCCGCAAGAUCCCGGAGUACUCCAGGAGCGCCGACAACGGUGCCUGGAUGAGAUUAGACGCCGAGUAAGGGAUAACGUACCUCCUCGAAGAGCCGCCUCCGGCACUACCGGAGGAAGGGGUCCUGUAAGGAUCAGAACCUCCGCUGGGGGUAUCCAUCACCUGGGAACCGAAUCGGACCAAGAAAACCUCAGAAAGUGCGUUGAGAAACGGUGAUCGAUGUCUAGAAGGAUCCUUGUCGGAAAUUAUGGGAGAGAGCCGGGGCUGGAGCAAUGUAGGAGGGAUCUCUUGCGGGGAAUUCAAAAACCCUAAUUCGAGGCGUGGGAAAGGGGGAAGGAGGAGGGUUCUUGGAAGGACGAGGAGGAAAACAGGAGGACGAAGCAAGAGAGGGUAGGAAGGAAGGCCGCGUCAAAUAAAUAGGGUCUCUUCUAUUCCCUCCCUGUUUGGUGUCUCAGUCCGCGUAGUUGUUACACGCCGUGCCAUUACCAUGUCGUACUGAAGCACCCGGAGUGCCUUUCAGGGGUGAUGUCAUCCAUCUCCGACGCACCAAUGGCGUUGCUACUGUUCGUCCUGCCCUGUCGCCCAUGAACUGCCAUUUCGCUGAGCCGUCCCGAGUCACCCAUGGAAUAUUCCAUGGGUUACGUCAUCGCUGACGCAUCCAAGGCGUUGUUAUUGUUCGUCGUCCCCGGCCAUCAAUGAACUGCGGUUUCACUGGUCGUACUCAGUCACCCCUGGAAUCGUACAUGGGUGAUAUAACCUCUGAUGCAUCCAAGAACUGAGGGGUAGUACUUCUGCCAGCAAUAUCGUCCAGGGGUGACGGAGUCUGUCUUCGUCGAACAAAGUUACAGCUGAACAAGAUUGUGUUAUACAGGGCAUUUUUACUGCUUCAAUGUUUUAAGGUGGAUGAAGACUUGAAUAAGAGUUUAACCAGUACAGGGACGAAGCAGGCUUCACUGUGCAUGGGGGGUGACCACCCGCUGGUCCUGCAGUUGCCUCACUGCGGCCACUUCACGUACCUGUUGCUACACUUAAUAGCGUAAACCUAAAUUUAUUGAUGAGUUAUGGACGACACAGCAUCAAAUAUGGCACCCGUAUAACCACCACGUGCAAGACAAAUCCAUCAAACGUCGCACCAGCAAUACAUGAGCAUCAUUAGGGAUGAAGACAAAUCAAUCAUAGUAUCUGAAAAGCUUAACCAUUUCGAGUUUAAAAAAAUAGGCCAUAUGUAAUCCAAAAAUGAGACCUCUAUCAAACAGUAAAUAAAUAAUUGAAAAUAAAGAAAGAUUCAACCAACACAUUAAAAUGACGUCAGUCACAAAAUUAAGUCAACUUUUUACCAGUGAUGUUCCACCGACACCUUCUAGCAGAGUUUUUACCUUAAACUGACAGAGAAGCUACGCUUGGUGAUACAGGUCUUGAAAACAGAGAAUAACUGAACCAGGAUAAGAUCAACAAGGGGGUAAUUGGUGAUCCGCGACGUCAAUGAACGAAAACACACAAACAAGAGCAACAAUGAUCAAGUUAAACUGCCAAAUGAAAAGAGUUUUCAUAUGCCCCAGAGUCAUACUGACAACAAAAACAAGCAGAAAUAUCCUUGCAAAAUUAACUGAAAAUGACAGUCUUUAAAACAGAAAGCAACUAACAAUGCUUGCAUAAUAUUCCAGCAAAUGAUUCUAAGAAGUUUCCGCAACUGCAGCUGGUAAGAAAGCCUUUCCAGGACGGCGAGCAGCAAGUGGACCAUGGCAUCCAAGUAACUGCACAACCAGACAUCUCGUUAACAGAUUGCUUUAUAAACGGCAGAUGAUGAAAUAAUUUCUCAGAUAAUAAAUAUCUGAUGUAAUUUCCUAUCAUUAUGGAAUACUGGAAAAAUAAUAAGAUGCCAAUUCUACCCAUGGAGAAGGAUAGGGACUAACAUGAUGGGCAGGAAUAAUUUCUCUUAAUGACAAUUCAAGACACAUAAGGAGGAAAAAUAAAACAAAGCCAAUAUGACAAAAAAAAAAUUGGUUUGACAAAGCCACAAUCCUUUUAAGGUAAAAGAUCAUCAGCUCUGGUUCAAAUAUCUUCCUUCCUUUUCCUACACAAGCAUAAAAAAGGCACAUAUAUAGGUACCAUUGGAUAGUCUACCACAAAUAACAUGGAGAAGGUGGAACAAGUAAAUCUAAAGACCUAAACUGUUAUGACAAAGGAUAAAAAUUAGGAUUGGUGCAUUUCAUGAUCUGUACAAUGGCAUGGAGUAGCCCAGCCAACCGCAUGUAAAUUGGGUGUGACUACCGAAUGUCCCCUUUUUUGUGUCUUAAGUAAUAUGGUUAAGAAUAAAAAAAGUUGCUGGCAAGGCAAGUCUGUUGUGAGGGUGUCACCAAAUACUUUCAUCCACCCAAUUUAUACCUCCACAAUUUCAGAUGAAACAGUACUUACCUUAGCAUUGACACCAUCUGGGGCAAUUCUGUUCUCACUCUUCCACUUCAAAUAGUCAGCACGACUAAACUUAGUGAAGCCCCUGAAAAUUAAUUUGUUGAAUCAGAACCGAUAGAAGAACAUAGGAGACGGAUCUCCAAUGACUACACAAUAGCCCAAACAUUAUGCUCCUUAGCAUCUCCUAACCAGAGAUAAAAGGCUAAAUCUUUGUUUGAGAAGACCUAUAGUGACAAUGAAUUUAGAAAAUAACAAUAAUGCUGGAUGCAUUAGCAUUAGCAAUUUAAAGCGGAUAGAAAGUUUCCUUUUGUGAGGCUUACCACUUUCCACUGAUGAUAAUCUUUUGACGGCCAGGGAACUUGAACUUCGCACGUCGUAGGGCCUCUUGGGCAUUAUUGCUAUUGUUAUCUUUGCAACGAACAGAGAGGAGGACUUGACCAAUGCUUACCCUAGCACACGUCCCUUGAGGCUUCCCAAAGGCCCCCCUCAUCCCAGUCUGGAGCCUAUCAGCUCCAGCGCAAGAAAGCAUCUUGUUGAUACGUAAAACAUGGAAUGGAUGCACUCUCACUCGUAGGUGGAAAGCAUCCUUUCCAGCAAACUUUGUCAUAUAUUUGUUACAUGCAAUACGAGCAGCCUCAAGAGCCUCGCUGGAAACAUUUUCCUUUUCCCAGCUCACCAAGUGAACACAGAAGGGAAAUUCAUCCACUCCUUUCUUCUUCAUUCCAACAUCGUAGAUCCUAAUCUUAGGAUCGGGAACACCACGGCAGUACCGAGAUUUCGGGUAUGGUUUGUUCUUAAUCUGACGAUAGCAUCUUGCAGGUCCUGCAUGAGGAAUAAAAAAAUUAAAAUUUUCAUUCGAACCCUAACGAUGAGAAUUAACAAUUGCAUAAUUGAUGAAUAAUUUUUGGAAAAUCAGAAAAGGAAAAAAAAUACGAUCAUCAGAUACCAAAACUCAUCUCAAGAUUUACUCUAUCCAAAGGGAAAGCAUAUUGGAUCUACCUCUUCAAGUGAAUGCAUUUACUAUGUGCAAAUUUGAAUAAAGGAUAGGGAUAAUAGCCAGUAACUAAUAAGAAAUUCCAUUGGGGAUGAAGUAUAUCAUUUUAAAACUAAAAACUUCAUGAACAAAAUUACUAAAGUGCAUAUUGCAAACUCUUUUUUUUUUAAUGGACCCCUGCUUUCUCCUCAAACUUCUUGUUAAGUAGACCCCAAUAAGUGAAAAAUAUUAUCAUACGGAUCACACAUAUGGCCUUGUAAAUUUCAAAAGUCACAACAAAAUGAACAAACAACUUUAACCACAGAGGGCAAUCUAUACCUAGUUAAUUCCAGUUGCAACAUGUCCUGUAGAUUUCAAAAGUUGUUUCUUUUACAAUCAUAUACAUAAGUAUCAUUGCAGACUGGUUGGCUAGUUAUGCUGGCAGACUAGCCGUCUUACUCGUCUUACCAGAAUACAAACUCUUUUUUAAAUGGCAGCUAGAGACUAAUUCAAUAUGGGGUUGGCAUGCAGGGCCCCUGGUCCUCUCCUUAAACUUCUUGUUAAGUAAACCCCGAUAAGUGAAAAGUAAUGACAUACAGAUAACACAUAUGGCCCUCAUCGACAAAAUGAACAAGCAACUUAACCACAUAGGGAAAUCCAUACCUAGUUAAUUCCAGUUGCAACAUGUCCUAUAAAUUCAAAGUUGUUUCCUUGACAAACAUAUACAGGAGUAUCAUUGCAGACGGUUUGGCUAGUUAUGCUGGCAGACACCAUCGGCGUUACUCAUCUUACCAGGACAAGCCUAUUGGGGUUCUUCAUCUCUGCAACAGGAACUUGGGAUACCCACCGAAAAGAAAACUACUCUACACUUGUGGUGAUUCAAAUUGUAACGAAUUCAUGCUCUCUACCAACCCUUCGAAGCUACAAACUAGCUUAUAAUUUAUCUCAAGCCUAUGAAGUUUGAAACUAAUUAUAGACAUAUUCCAAGUACCCUUAUUCUUUUGGCACGAAGUGCUGCACAAGCUUGCGACUUGUACAAACAACCAUUUGACAUAUAAAUAGGAUUGAUCUAAAACAAAGAAUACAAAUGCAUCUAAUCCUCGUAUGUUAGCCUUUGAGGUGGCCUACCGUGGUGGAUCGAGACCAUGGGAUGUCAACACAUCCAUUGUUUCAUCCAAAGUAUAGACAUCUAAUUACGGCAUACGUUCUCAUCGUAAUAGCUCAAUACAAACAACGAAUCAAACUUAUGUCCGCAUGAUCCCAUCGCACGCAAAGUAAAGAAUCGCCCACUAAAAUCGAAUCUCUGCCGGAACGGAAGGGGGAACAAUGCUUCAUGUCAAGCAAAACUCAUCGGAUCCGACCAAAACCAUAAGAGAAACAAUAAACCCGACGUCAAUCGAACUAGCACGAGAAAAGUGAGGAAUAAAGCUAGGAUAAUCGAGCAACUCACGCCUCCCCAUGGCUGAAACGAAGGCAGAAGACGAUACCUACGCCGCAAAUCGCAGAGGAGCCAGAAGGGUGCCGGUUCAUUUAUACCGAGCGACGUGGAGUGGGAUUCCAAAGUAGAAACCCUAAGAAUUAAAUGGGCUCGUGGGCCGAAUGCGGGCUCCGAUGCCGGUCACUUUGACGACCUAACUUGGGCUUGUAUUGUUGGAGGCUCAAUUCUUGAGAUACACGUUGUAGGAUGCCAUGCCAGCAUCAUGCCGUGGGCCAUCUUGUGGGUAUAAUGCUGUCUAUAACUUAAAUAUGAAUGGUUGAUGUGGCGCCUCGCUAUUGGCUGAUUCGUAUCUGAUAGAUAUGCAUGUUGAUUUUUUUUCAAAAAAUGAAUAAAAUCAUAUGUUGUAGCCUAAAAAGGGAUUUGUAAGUGUAAAUAAAUGUAUAUUAUUAAACUAGUAUUAUGUAAAUAAAUGUAUACAAGGAUAUUUUAAACCUAUGCCAUUAUUUAUAAGAUAAUAUUUUAAAUUCUUAACAUAUAAUGAAUAAAUAUGGUACAUAUUAAUGCAUAUUUAGUUUUAUACCGAUAUCAAUUUGGAGUUGAUCGAUGUAUAAUUUUAUUUUUAUUUUUUUAUUAACAAAAUAAUAAUAAAUCCUCGUCUCAUCCUACAUUGGAUGGUGUACUAAGAUAAAGCCCAUACAUAGUCUUAGAUAUGAGAUGUCCGCUCCUUCAAAAUAGAACGUAUAAAACAUAAGAAUAUAAAAAUUAUAAUAUAACUUGAGAUUAUCGUGCACAAAGAUACACAUUAAUAUUAGGAAUCAUAUUUUUCUGAUAUACCAAAUGCGAAGAAAGUAUAAUAAUUAUAAUCAUAAAUAUGAUUUAUUAAUAUUCAAAUAAUGGUGUCAUAUUAAUCAUGCGAUAUAGAAAUAUCUUAAAACAUGAGUUGUGCUUUGAAUAGAUAACUAAUCAAGUAGUUUAAUUUUACCUUUGAGUAGGAAAAGAUGUAAAAUAUUUCAUCAUUCGUACAGCUCGUAUUUUUAGAAUUGGAAGGCUAAUUAAAAAUGCAUCGACUUAUAUUUUUAAACCAUAAAACAUCGCAAAAGAAUAAACUGUAUAAUACAAUCGAAAAACAAAGUCAAAGUCAUACUUUGGAAGUGACAAAGAAAUUAACAACUUAUGUUUUAGAACAUUAAAAUAAUUAAAAUCAUACCAUCGAAGGCACACUUUAACAUAAAUCAACAUAAUAUGAUCAUCAUAGCUCGGAGACAAAAAUUAUUUUAGUUUACAUUUUGAUUUAGGGAGCAAAAAUAGUAAGAAAAUGUUCAUAAUGUGGGCUUUUACAUGUGAUUAUUUUCAUGUUAAAGUAAAAAAAGAACCCAUGGAUAGAACACCUUUUGACCUCAACGUAGCUUAACUUUAGGAGGCAAGUGGGUCAUUCAAUGCCUCACAUACCAUCAUUAUUUCAGCUUUAAUUCGAAUCCUUUGCUUCGUGAUCUUACUACUCAUCGAUCCUAUCAGUCUCAUCUCAUAGCAUACGAAGUCAACGAAGAAAAAGAAUCGGACAAACAUAUGUUAGAAACAAAAGCACGCUAAAAACGUAUGACGUUUCGUGGCCAUGAUUUGACAUGUCGUACGCAUGGGAUCCGGAUGACGAGCGAUACUCUGUAACCCACCCGCCUCGUUAUUGGGGGAUAGCCGUGGACCCCAGCUUCGGUACCGCCAGCUCCACGUGUCCACGACUCGUAAAGGGUGGAGUCGUGUAGGUCGUCAUAAGUCAGAGGCUCGCAGCCGCGCUAAUUGGCACGGACGGGAACGUUUUACCAGCCGUCGGAUGCGGGCCCCACCUUCCCGUUUCCUCCCGCCUCGUGAUUGGAGGACACCGGCGGGGACCGCUUCUGCCACCAAUCGAGCGUGUCGGUUACGCUUUCGGGUGGCGAACCUACGGGUUCAAAAAAGUCGGGAGGCUCCAGCCGCGCUAAUUGGCACGGCCGGGAACCUUUGCCUGCCCAACGAGGAGAUCCGAUGCGGGCCCCACUUUCUUCUCCAAGCCACCUCGUGGUUCGAGGAUAUCGACGGGGCCCACCUCGGGUACCUGGGAGCUUUGUCGGUUAAACGUACGGGUAAUUCGGAGGCUCCCGUACGUGCUAAUUCGCACGGGCGAUACUCGUUACUUGGCCCGACGAGGAGACCACGAUGCGGGCCCCGCCUCUUCUUAUCCAACCACGAUGCAGGUAUCAGUGUUUGUUCAAACGCUUGCUCUUCGAUUAGUAUUACUCGUCUUAUUACUGUUGUAAUUACCAUAACGAUCACUAUAAGUAAAUAGCCGUUACCCACUUUCGCCUUCCCUUCGAAUUCAAAUCCCUCUCUCUUGCUCCGCGGCCCAAACCGAUCCCCCAUGCUGUCGCCGGCCGAAGCAGCAGCUCCGCCUCGCCGGAUGCCCCUCCAGCCGAAGAACUUCGAUUUCAUCCCGUCCGUCUGGAUCCAUCCGAAGCCCAAACCGAUCGCAUUCCGGUGCCCGCCCUCGACCGGAAGGCGGGCGGGUAAGGAGAGCCGCCCCAUCUCGUCCCCGGAGCUGGGAACGAUGGCUGGGCUGCGGGACGCGUCGCUGUCGGAGGAGCUGGCGGCUGCCCGGCUGAGGCGGGAGCGGCUCCGGGCGGAGAGGGUGCGGACGGAGGAGGCGCUGCGGGAGCGGAACGCGGCGAUGCGGAGGUGGGCGGUGGAGCUGGAGAAGUGGGCCGAGGAGCAGCGGAACUUGGAGCUGGAGCUCCGCCUCUUGAUCGAGCUUCGGGAUUUGCAAUCCUCCUCUACGGUGAGACAGACAUAGCUCAUCUCCAUCGGGAAAAGAAGAGUUCUUGAUCAGUACUUAUCUUGUGCUUAAAGUUUUGGUUGCAGAUUUCGUCUCCAGUUCAAUCUCUGAGAGAAAAGGAACAGCAAAGAAGUAUGGAGGUGAAGCUGCAGGUAUGUGCGCCCAAUUGCAUACUUUCAGAUCACUUCUAGCUUUAAUCUGUUGAUAGGUUGAGUUGAUAUAUUGACAAUGUAAAACUAAAAGAACCGAGGGAAUGGUUAUAGAAUUGUUCUGCUAUUGCUGAGUUCUUAUUCCUGCUGUUCCACAAAAAAAUUCGGUUGUAGAUAUCACCAGUUCAACCCCUAAGAGAGAAAGAAAAGCAAAAAAUUGUGGAAGUGCAGUUGCAGGUAAGAAUGCCCGAUCAUAGUAAUACAAGUUCAAUGCAAGUAUCAGCAGUUUAACAUGUUUUUGUUGGCUAUGAUGAAAUGGUAGAAGAUUAAAGCUUAAAGAAAUGAACUCAUUCUCUAGUUAAUGCAGCAUUUGGUAGAAAAGAUGAGAAAGGCUUGGUGUGAUUGUUAUUGUGUGAUACAAACUUUUUUCUUGAUACAAUGCAUGUACUUCACAUUGCUACUUAUCUGUUACUAUUAGUUAGUCACCUAGUUGACAUCUUUCGAGUUUUUCCUAUGUGCUCUUCCAAUUUUGUUCACUUAUCUUACUUUCUCUUGACUGAAUUUAUCGGACAUUUUUCCAAUCUUCAGUAUUCUUCAAGAGUUAAGAUUAGUAAGUGCAACAAUCUUCACAGACAAGCUGCAAUAGGACAUUAGGAAUUCGUAUAGAGUAGCAUGAACCUCACAAGGAAGAAGACCAUAUUAUUCUUUUGUGCAGAACAUUCACCUUGUAGCAGAGGAGCUGUUAUUGUCUUCCCAUAGGUCAUCGGCAAUAUGAUUACACAACAAUUUGAACCAGUUUACCUAAAGAUGUUUGGAAGUGGUGCCAACUUACCAAAGAUUUUGGAUACAAAAAGCUUUUGUUCCUAGUAUCUAAGAAUUUGUUGGUACAGAAUCCUGAAACCAUUGGUGAACUGAUUUGAGCUGCGCCUUGCAUAGAGGCAUAAGUUAUGUCCAUGAAAAUUUAAUAGAUUAGCAGCAAACAUUAGACAAAGACCCUAUCUGGUACUGGUUUCCACUGAAUUGUGUUUUGACUUAUGGGUAAACUGAGCAAAUGGUAUAAAUAUUAUGAUUUCAGCUCGAUCGAUGUAGUCUGUGUUCAUGGUUUCACUCAACAAUAUUGUGUUUUGUUUGAAGCUAAUAUACAGAAGACCAACAAAUUUUCAGACACCUAAAUGUUUUCUCCUUUCGUGCAGGGACCCAAAAUUGCAGAACAAAAUAGUGAAGUUGGAAUGCCAUCUUCAAUCGAGGAAAAUGAGACAGAGAAGUAGUGUUUCUUCUCCACUUCAAUCUCUCUAUCUCUCUCUUGUUUUGUCACAUGUAAUUUGUGCCUUGAAAUGAAGAAAGUCAAAUUGCUCGUUUGCAUCCCUUUGCCACACACUUGUGUUGCCAUCGUGGUCAUGUAUCAAUACUUGUCAGUGAUCAGAGCAAGAAUCCAUAAUUGCUCUGAUCUGUGACAGCUUUUGCUGAAAUUUACAGAAGAAUAGUGUUCAUGUUUGACAUUACUCACUGACCCCUUUGCAAAUGAUUGACAUGUACAGAGAGUUUCUUCGAGAACAACAAUUUAAAGGGUUUUUUUUAAGCUUUGAUUAUGUGUCAAGAAAAUAUAAGACAAUAUCAGAAUUUUAAGAUGUAGAACAAUAAAUUCAGGAACACAGUGUUGGAUAUUUAAUGAACAUAUUUAUCAGGAAGGGAAAAAAAAAAUGAUGGUGCAUCUAGGCUUUGCUAAGGAAAUGAUGAUGAAAGAUGGUCGUAAUGGAUCCAUUGGAUGCCAAGAAAGCCAUCCGAGAAUCAAAUACACUGGUGGAUAGGAUCAUGAAUCUGAUGUUGUAUUUCACCAUCCAUCAUCAUUGUUACAGUCAUCAUCAUCAUCAAUAUUACUAUGGUUGUGAUAAUAGUCUUUUGGUCAAUGAUUGCUCUUAUUUUUCCAACAUCUCCUUGAUGGGAACCUCCUCAAUCAUCCAUUUUAAUGCUAAAGCUGCUUUCCUCACCUCUCUAAUCCUUUCUUAGGUGAUCUCAUGGCCUUGUGACUGCAGUAAGAUCUCUUUAGCCUUUUCUGAAACAUGCAGUCAUAUCUGAAGACCAUGACAAUUGAUUUCAUCAUCACAGCUUUUUUUAUAUAGCCGGCGGCAUAUUAUUACAAAACACUACUUGUUUGACUGGUACCAUACAAUUGCAUUCUUUUGCUUUCUUAGUCAUCAAAAAUUACUGCUCAUUUGAUUGUCUUGAAACUGAGGGUAAACACUUAAGUACAAAAUAUAGUUUUUUUUACUUUUCUUUCCAAUAUUUUAUGCCUUGAUGGAAAUACAAAAUCUUGUUGUCAGAUCAUUAGCAUUUCAACUGUCCAAAACACAUAUUCAGGUUCUACUGUUAUUCUAGUUCUGGUUUAUUUCUUUGUCUUUAAAUGUGUGUGUGUGCAAGAGAGAGAGAGAGAGAGAGAGAGCCAUAUAUAUUCACUUCUCUGGGGAUACAAAUGUAGAUGAUAGACUAGAUGUACAACCAGAAGCUGGGAAGUGAAUUCCUCUUUAGAAAAGAGAGAGAGAGAGAGAGAGAGAGAGAGAGAGAGAGAGAGAGAACCAUAUAUAUUCACUUCUCUGGGGAUACAAAUGUAGAUGAUAGACUAGAUGUACAACCAGAAGCUGGGAAGUGAAUUCCUCUUUAGAAACAUUAAGAAGCUUCAUGGUCUUAGGAUUCUUAAUAUAUAUGACAUAAACACGUUCUUCAACUUCUUCCAUGCAAAGGGGAGAGUAAUCCAAUGGCUAUUAUGGCUGCAUCAGUGGCAUCGGAUCUGUCAGUGGUGAAACAUGUGCUCUGCUGCAGCCAUGAUAGGCUGAGUCGUAUAACUUUGGAUCCAUGGACUGAUCGAGUUAUCGAUGGCAUGAAAUCCAUCACCCAUGAAGAAACUGCUGCUGCUGCUGCUGAUGCUGUUUCCAUUGAAGAUGUCAAGCAUCUCAUUGAGGGACUGUAGCCGGUUGCUGAGCUCCAUCGUCUGCGCCCUCAGCACGGAGUUCUCAGCCUGCGCGGCAGCACAGUGCCGCGUGGUGAGGUUCAACACCGAAAGGACGCGGCUGUUCUCCUUCCUCAGCUGGUUCGCCUGCGCCAUCAGAUCAUCCAGGUGCUUCUGCUUCCGUAACCUCGACCGUCUCGCGGACUCACGGUUCGAUAUCAUUCUCUUCCUCUUCUUCUCGUCCAUCGCCGCUUGCAGGUCUUCUGAUGAACCGGAGCUGUGGAACAUGCUGGAGCCAGAGGAAGCCCCACUGGGAGAAGCCAUUAGAACUUGGUGUUUUUGAAGAGAUCUGUUGGGUUUCCUCUCAAGAAAGACGAUGCAAACACGAAAGAUGCAGUUAUUGAUCACGAGACAAAGGCAAGAAGACUAGGAGACUUAUAUGUAAGAAGGUGGAGAUAUUGCACUGCUCAGUUUUCGGCACGAAGCUCAUGGAAAACAUAGAACCAGUAGAGAAAGACCACGGAGAAGGAUUGAACAAGAUGGCUCAUGCGCUGAAGAGUGGGAUUUAUCAUACACUCGGACGGGAGGAGUUCACUUCGGAUAGGCAGCAUCAAUCAGAAACAUCAAAAGGUAGAGACGCUGCAUGUGACCGGAAGAAGAACAAGGUUUAGUACACAACGCUCAGACCUUGGGACAGAGAUAGAAGAGUCGACCUCCCUUUUUUUCUUGGGUGCAAAGCUUGGUGAUGAUGAUUUCUUUGUUCUGAAUACAGAAUCAGAGUGCCUUGAGAAAAUUGGACGGAGCUUUCCUGGUAAAUAACAGGAAUGAAAGAAAAGUGUCCAACAGGAAGAAAGCAGCCAAAGGAGCUCCCAAAGAGUGAGCUUCUCACAAGAACCAGCGGAAGAACAGCAGCAAGAACUUGGCUUCCAGUGCCGAGUUAUGGGCACCAGAAGCAGGAGAAGAACAGGGAGGAAAGCUAUGAAAGAGCAACAGAACCUCGGUAGAGCUUAGCGAGGAAGAAGAGAAGAAGGGGAAAAAGGAAUUGUAGCAGCCAAAGGAGCUCCCAAAGAGGGAGCUUCACACAAGAACCAGCGGAAGAACAGCAGCAAGAACUUGGCUUCCAGUGCCGAGCUAUGGGCACCAGAAGCAGGAGAAGAACAGGGAGGAAAGCUAUGACAGAGCAGCAGAACCUCGGCAGAGCUUAGUGAGGAAGAAGAGAAGAAGGGGAAAAGGGAAUUGUAGCUUAGCAGAGGGUGGCAUUUAUGGACGAGAAUGGAGCAAUAAGAAGAGAAAAAUAAUGAAAGGAAAGGCGGAGGAGAGAGAGAAAGAGCAUUGGAAUCUGCUGUGAGUAGUAGUUGUUGGGGGGUGAUUCAUUGGAAAAGUGGGGUCAGAUAUGGUAUUUCAUAAGCAUUCAAUUCCAGCUGGUGGGCUGAACUGAUAUCCUCUUCCAGCCUCUACUUUCUCCAAGAUUUUUCCAAAGAGGAAAAGAAAAGUUGUUCUUGAAUCCUGCCAUUGGUAAUCCACUGUAGCUGCCGAGUUGAGCUUGAGAAGAGCAAUGCCACUCGAAGCUUGAUCAAUCCCAGAUAAAGAAACAUCUAAAAGACAUUUAAUAUGUUACCCUAGGAAACACCAUUAUAGGCAUUGAAGGGUAAGCUUUUCUUUAGUGGGCAUCUCAGCUGAGGUUACUGUGACAUUUCUUCUUUUCAUUCAAGAGGAUGGUGUCUUUUUCUUUUAGUUCCUUCUUCAAUGGUGGAAGAAGUAAGCAGCAUCAUAUAAGAGCACCCAUGAAUUUAGCUUCUGCUGCACUCUUAUAAAGACUGAUAAGGAGACAAUGGUGACAGUUGAAACUUUGAGAGAUGGCAUAGGUUGUGUCCCACUUAAAUACCCCCUAAUUCCAUAACUCUGUGGACACAGUGGAGGUUCUCUGGUGUAGAAUAAUGUGUGUGCUGUUAGGAGUGUAGUCAAUUUAGAAAUUGACUAUUAAAUCUCUUCUCUGACAGAAUGACAAUGUUGAUUGCUUUGGGACCAUUUGACACUGACAUUAUAUGUACAAGAAGGAUGGCUCUUAAACCUGCUUAUAAGACUAAUGAUCUUAAAGAUGGCCUUUGAUGGAAUCUGUGGGUUAAGAAGACCAAAUUUUAUAUGAUAGUUGUGUGGUUUUCCUGGUCUGGUUAAGGAUUUGCCAUAGACAAUUCUUCUAUUCUUUUGUGCUAAAGACAACAAUCGAAAAGUGUCUCAACCAUACUAGAUUAUCCCCUGUUGUUCUUGGUUUGGUCAACCAUUGCCUUCAUUUAGUUGCAUCAGGAAUGGUUACAGGCCACCAUUUGGCUUCAUUUAAUGAUUGACAUAAGAAACUUUGUAUCUGUGGAAAAAAUCACUGAUUAAUUUCAAAAUGUUGUUUUUCUCAUGUGGGGCUAACAAAGAUGGGCCAUGAAACAGAGGUUUCUGGGAGAUGCAACAACAUCUAAUCAUGAUUUAGAAAUUAAAGCUACUUGGAGUAUAGACAAUUACUUUUGGGUUAUGUUUAUCUUAGACCACAGAAGUUACAUGGUAACUGAUAGGCAUAGGAUGACUCCACUGCUAGUGAUUUUGAUGGCAUCAAUUAUUUGGCUUUUCCUCAAUAAAUGGAGAUAGAGAUAUAAUAGAUGUGAGGAAGGAUUGAGAAGAUAGAAGAAGAAAAUAAAGAAGUGGGUCCUCCUGUCUUUUACCUCUUGUUGAGGAUUAUGCAAUCCAUUUGUUCUACUCUGAUGUGUUUCUGAAGUGCCCACAGUAGCAAUUUUUCUUGCUGAAACUUCUACCUCUAUUUUUGGAGUGCAUGAAUAUAUUACUUUGGAACAUCUACAGUGAACCAUGAGAGUGAUUUAUCUUUGUAUGUUUUUGUUACCUAUAGAAACCUGGGAGGCUUCUUGAGCUGUGCAUUGUUUGCAAAAGUCUUUCUCCAUCAAUUGAGAUUUGAAAUAUCUUGAAAAGCAACAUCUUUGAUAGAUAGGAAUUGUGAUUAGUACACAUUGGUGAUCACUCUAGGUUCAUAAAGUUACCUACAUAGGCAGGUCAGUGACAGAGUUGUGUAGCCCAGGAAUUCAACAACCAAUGAUUAUGAGGAUAUAUAAUGAUGGACUUGCAUGCUGUUGAUUUCCAUGACAAACAUCUUAUAUCAUAUCUCAGCAGUAGAUGACAUUUUAAGGUCAUAUAUGAUGGAACAGAAAGAGAGAGAGAGAGAGAGAGAGAGAGAGAGAGAGAGAGGGAUUUGACUGUUCAAUUUUGUUUUAUCUCUUUAUACAAAUAGUCUCAAUCAAUGAUUGGAUGUGCAUCAAGCUCUACAGAAACAAGAAAGGUGAAUCUACCCUUCAAAAGCUGAAGAGGUGCUGAAGGACAUUGCAGGGUUGGACCAUCUUAUAACAUAUACCUCACAACUGUGGCUCAUGCUGUAUUGGAUCAUCAAGAAAAAUCAGGUUUCGAGGUCAACAAACAUGAUCAUGGCUGUUGGGUCUAAUCUAAUACAAAGUGGUCCAAGUUGGAAACAUCUAGGUUUGGUUUCACUUCAUUACAUUCAAGAAACAUCACUCAUGAGAUGCAAGAAGAGCAGAGUAGCUUGUUUUGUAGCUCAGCACCCUGCAGAAAUUUUAUCUUCUGCGGUUCCAUUGGGACCAAGGCAGGCAAAGAAGACAGUGAUGUUGUAAUGACUUUCUCCAGGAGCAUCAAAACAUUACUGAAAGAGAGAAAAGAGAAGGUAGUGAAAAGGAGGAGGAAGAUGCCACCUAAACUAGAGAACAAACUUUGAUGGCCAAAUGCUUCAAGGCUAAGUCAAUUCACUGGAAUUUUUAUUAUCAAUGGUGACCCAAGAGUGACCUCUGAGGUCCCAAACCCUCUCAACAAGUCAUGAUCUAGCACAGUCACUGGAUAUACAAAACCAUGCCACUAACUUCACAAUGGAUUUGACCUUUAGACCAGCCAAUGGUCAUCUGUUGCAGCCUGUCUGAUCUUUUCAUGAAAAGUAAAAGUUGAUUCUUACCUGAUCAUUGGCUUUGCUGUUUUGACAAAAACAAGGAGGAAGCAAAUAUCCUAAUUGAUUACAUAGAUAGUUUCCUGCAAGAUGGUAUGGGAAUUCUUGAUUGCAACUUCAAGAAGACAUUAUGAAAACAUGGCCUCUUAAUUCCUCCAAAACAGUUUAGGUGAUAUAAGUGAAGUCACAGACUAAGAUAUCUUGAAGGGCCAAAGAUUCCAAUAGUUGAUGGUGAUGUGAAGCACCAGGAAAACUAAAGCAUUAAGUAGUUGCUGGGGACCUAAUGUUCACAGGGUUUUAAUAUGAGGGACCAGGAUUUCUAGGAAUGAAGUUUUAUGUUGGGUAACCCAAGUUAAAACCCAUCCCUAUUUCAAUAUGGCUCAUGGAAUCUAUUAUGGUCAGCACUUUAGCUCCAUCAUAAACUAGGCAGGGAUUCCAACAUUGAUGGGAACAUUUGGAUGGUUUUGUGCACCAUCACACCACCUUCCCCACCAUGCCCUGCCCAAGCACUUCAUCAUUCUAUAAAACAAGAAAAAGAACCAUAAAUACUUCAGCACACUUGAGAUUGAUGUAUCCUCUUUAACUUCAUUCUUUGAUGCAACAGGCCAUUAGCAUGCCACUCUAGUGUCUUCACCUUGUGAUGUUAAGAUGAACACUUGCAUGCCAAACUUUGUACUUUGUUUUCCAUCUUUUAUUCCCCUCAUCUUCUUAAAAGAACCAUACUGCUACCACCCUUCACUGAUCUACUCCUCCUCACUCAUAGUUAAAUGAUGAACUACUGAAUACUAAGUAUAUCAGACAUUUCCUUAAGAUGUUUUCAGCACAGGUUGUAAUGAGAGACAGUACAGUUUUGCUGUGUGAUUGUACUUCAACCUGUAAUUCAUGUCAUAUCUCUUGUACAUCCCAAGAUGUGGGGAUUUAACUUUCUUGUUGGAUCCCUCGAUCAACACAAAAAAGAUUUUGGUCGGUUUUGUGGGGUUGUGAUCCUGCCACAAAAGUGAGAAGAACAGCAAGCAAAAGCUUAGCCAUCCUUUGAUGGCAAUCCCUUGAGAUCUGUUCUUGUUCUUUUUGGUGGGGUUUUUCUAUCUCUGGCGAUCAAAACUGUCAUCAAGCCCUGCUACAGGACACUCUCUUUUGCCAUGUUCGUGGACCUUCGAAGCAGUCGAUUGAGGUCUCAGCCACUGUUUAUGAUGGAGGUGUUUCCAGCUCACUGCACAAGCUUUUCCAUCCCUUUUUAUUGCCUUAUCUACAAUCAGGAUACUGUGUUGUGUUUGUAAUCAUGUAGUGUGUGCAUGAAGGAUUAGAUUUCGAUAUGAUUAUAGGUGAAAUCAAAUCCACUUGAUUUAUUUUUCGAGCAUUAUCACGAUAAUGUCUUAGAGAAGCGCAGAAGUAAAUAAUUAUAUCAUGUUUCGAUCUAUUCUUCUGAGUCUCAAGUUAGUAUAUAUUAGUGGCGGACGAUGAAAACUCAUAAUUGGUUAGAUUAUGAUGUUAUUUUAUAUAGUAUCUAUCGAUGAUGUAAUAAUCAUCGAUUAUAAAAUUUUAUAUAAAUUAAAAUAUUUUAUUGAUAUAAUAUGUUUAGUUAACAUAUUAUAUCCGUUAGACUUCAUGUGUGUCGAGUCUCGAUUAAUAAAUAAUAAUAAUCAUAUCACACAUCAAAUAUAUAGUCAAUAUUUAGUGGAAAGGUCAUAUAUAAAUGAAAAAUAAAUUUAUCUGAAGAGAAGAGAAAGAAAAACAAAAAAAAAGGGUGAAAGGUUCAGAAAAGAUUCUUCUGCUUUCAUGUUCUCAUAAAGCAGUGUCCAACCACCGGAGUCGCAGUUCUGUAACAUCAAAUCCCACUUUGCCUUCCCUGCACAUGAGUGGUGAUGUUGUUGCAACUGAUCAGAGAAGCAAAGCCUUCGUAUCAUCUUUAAGCAAAAGCUCUUCUCAUCAUCUUUUCGUGAAGAACAUUUCUGCGACUGCGCUCCUUUUGCUUUCACCUUAGGUGACCACCACCUCCACUUGUUCCACCAUUGCUCGGUGGACAGUGCGCAGCAUGUGCCGCUCACAGCACAGAGGAAGAAGAAGGAACAUAAAAGGGGCAGUGACGGCAACUCCCCUCCCUCCUACAUUCUUCCUCGACUCCAUGUGGAUCGACUUUUGUGGGCAGCUGAAGCUUUCCUACUGCCCUCUCGAUCUCGUCCUGUGUGGUAAAAGCUCGCUCGCUGUCACUUCUGAGCGAGCUUUAUUCGGGUGGGCCGCUAAUGUAUUCGGCCCGUUACUAACUCAUGAUGGCCCAUUUAUUACUACAAAGGAUCCGAGUAGGAUAUUUUUUAUGCACUAUCAUCUCAAGCAUACAUUACACAAUGAAUAAAUACACCGUAAUCCCAUCGAACACCACAACAGAAGAAAAGAAGGAACAGCGCCACGACGGUAGGAAGAAGAAGAAGAAGAAGAAGAGGAGGAGGGUGAUGUAGGCAUUCGGGCGAACGUGUUCAGAUCACGCCCUGGGCUUGCAGACGAUGGUGGAGUGCUUGAGUAUGUGGAGGCUGAACUGACCGCCCUUCUCGGUGGUGUCGACCUUGCUGACGCCCGGCGGCGGCAGCAGCUCGAAGUCCUGGACGAGGCGGCCGAGGGUGAUGCCGAGGAUGGGCAGGGCGAGGAUGAUGCCGGGACAGCUGCGGCGGCCGACGCCGAAGGGC
RNAcentral lists this long non-coding RNA (47246 nucleotides) under Musa acuminata (dwarf banana). RNAcentral's name for it is "long non-coding RNA (MACU_LNC006011)". Lineage: Eukaryota; Viridiplantae; Streptophyta; Magnoliopsida; Zingiberales; Musaceae. The record is from RNAcentral.